RNAcentral lists this long non-coding RNA (61039 nucleotides) under Gossypium raimondii (Peruvian cotton). Its description in RNAcentral is "long non-coding RNA (GRAI_LNC007881)". Lineage: Eukaryota; Viridiplantae; Streptophyta; Magnoliopsida; Malvales; Malvaceae. The record is from RNAcentral.
AGAGACAAUAAGUCAUCUCUAAUUUCCACUAUAAAACUUAUUGAAUAGGAGAAGAUCCACUGUUUUAGAUUGAUAUUCUUAGGGAUCGACCCAAUUAAGCAACAAGUAACAAAAAUAUCGAAAUAAAUUGAGAAAUUGAACACACAAAUUUAACGUGGAAAAACCCCUCCAAAGAGGAUAAAAAACCACGGGAAAAGAUAAUUUUACUAUAAUGGCAAAAGAACGAAGAGUACAAAAGAUGGAGAUAAAACUAAACCUCCAAACCCCGAAAAUAAAGAACCCUCAAAACGUAAACACAAAAUUCUCUGAAUGUGUUAUGAGUUCUAAUCUCUAAUGGGUGUAUUAUCUAAGGUUGUAAAAUAGCCUAUUUAUAGGCUAAAUUCAAAUAAUAAUAAAAUAAUCUAAACUAAUCAGUAUUUGAUUGAAACAAAUAAGCAGAGUUUAACUCGAAGAUUAUUUCUCAAAUUUGACUGAAAAUAAGAGUCAUACUUAACAAAUCUCCACCUCGACUCAUAUUUCUACAACACCAUAUUUGCCAAAGCCCGCCACGAGCCUAUCUUGAACUAUGUAGGGAAUUAACUAAGUCAAAUUUGUGCUUAGAAAUUGGAAGACUUGUAGCCUUCAACCUGUAUACUGCCAAAUCAAAACUAACCUGGGUCUAAUUUUCACAAACACAGUGCCCUAACUUUUCAAAACCUACAUUAAAAGAGAACCUCUCUUCAACGAAACGGUCAUACAUUUUUCCCUCCUAUGAACAAGUUGCCUCCGCUCCAAACGAGUUAACUUCGACUCUGUAACGGAUGAGGGAUGUCUGAUUUCAUCGGUCACUGUAGAACCUUCCAGAAUAUAAAGACUGUCAGUUCUUUUACCUUUUAACAAAACAAGAGCUCCAUGAGAUACUUUAAUGCCGCUUGACUCGAUGUUGAUUUUGCAUCCUUUGAAGUCUAAAAUACUCAAGGAGAUGAGAUUCUUUCGUAAAUCAGGUACAUACCUGACAUCUGAGAGUGUCUUAAUCGUCCCAUCGUGUAUCCUAAUUUUAACAGUACCAAUACCAAUUACCUUACUAGAUGAAUCGUUUCUCAUGCGCACAACUCCACCUUCAACCGAAUUGUAUGUGGAGAACCAUUCUCUAUUGGGACACAUGUGGAAAGAACAUCUCGAAUCUAGGAUCCACCCGGAUGUGAGCUUGGAGUUAUCGCUCGUUGACACUAACAAGAAAUUAUCACCGCUUUCAUCGAUCAAAUUUGCACCAGCUACAUCUUCCUCGUUACUCUCAGUAGCUCUUUUAUUUCGCAGUUUAUAACAAUCUGCUUUGGCGUGACCUAACUUUUUACAAUAGCGACACCUUUUAUCUCGUUUCUUUGAUGCCAUCAAAACGGAAGCUUGCCUAUUUGCCUUGCUAUCCAAAUAAAGCUCAUUGUCGAGUUUGUCUCUACUCAAUAAAUGACCAUUCACAUCUUCGAACGAGAGUUUGUCUCUGCCAUAAAUCAGGGUCUCCCUGAAAGACUUGUAUGAAUGGGGUAAAGAGCGCAAUAAUAGCAUAGCUUGAUCUUCAUCAUCAAUAUGAACCUCAAUGUUCUUUAAAUCAUUUAAAAGAGUAAUGAAUUGACUGAUGUGAUCUCUAAGAAGCUCUUCGUUCAUGCGAAACGUAAAUAGACGUUGUUUCAACACUAAACGGUUAGCCAGGGACUUAGUCGCAUAAAGAGUUUCUAACCUUUUCCACAAGGUGGAUGAGGUCUUCUCCAUCAAUACCUCCUGCAAUACUGUAUUCGCGAGGCACAACUGGAUUGCAGACAAGGCCUUUUCAUCAAGCUCUUCCCAUUUUGUUUUAUUUAGAUUCUUAGGCUUUUUCCCAGUAACUACCUUAUUCAAACCGGAUUGAACUAGAAUUUUCAUCAUCCGAACUUGCCACAGAUUAAAAUUUGUCUCACCAUCGAACUUCUCAAUUUCAAACAUUGUUGUUGCCAUAUCUGAAUUGGCUGAUCUAUGAAAACUGAAGUAGAUCUGAUACCACUUGUUAGGGAUCGACCCGAUUAACCAACAAGUAACAAAAAUAGUGAAAUAAAUUGAGAAAUUGAACACACAAAUUUAAUGUGAAAAAACCCCUCCAAAGAGGAUAAAAAAACCACGGGCAAAGAUAAUUUUACUAUAAUGGCAAAAGAACGAAGAGUACAAAAGAUGGAGAUAAAACUGAACCCCAAACCCCGAAAACAAAGAACCCUCAAAAUGUAAACACAAAAUUCUCUAAAUGUGUUAUGAGUUCUAAUCUCUAAUGGGUGUAUUAUCUAAGGUUGUAAAAGAGCCUAUUUAUAGGCUAAAUUCAAAUAAUAAUAAAAUAAUCUAAACUAAUCAGUAUUUGAUUGAAACAAAUAAACAGAGUUUAACUAGAAGAUUAUUUCUCAAAUUUGACUGAAAAUAGAAGUCAUACUUAACAGAUAUGAUAGAGAUAUUGAGUCAAUUCAAAAAUUAACAUGCAUGACAAGUACAAUUAUAUUGAUAAAUUCAACGGUUGGAUUAUUCAAGAAAAUAGAUUGAGUGUAUUGAAAUUUGAUUUGGCAAAAAAUAAUAAUAAAAUAAUUUGGAAUUUGGUGGAAGUUAGAGGACUAAAAGUAAAAAUAGACCAUAAAAAAAUUGGAGUCACAAAUAAAUAAAAGAUUUUCUUAACGUGACAUAAAAAAUAUUGAUAGAUGGAAUUGAAAAAUAAUGGUAUGGGCUAAAUUAAAUAAAGUAGAAAAAUUCAACAGCUAAAUUGUAAUUUUACUAUAUUAUAAAAAAUUAAUUGACAAUUUUUUUUAGUUAGUUGAUUUUUCUUGAGACAUAAUGAUUAUAUUAUAUAUUUAUUUAGUAUCUUUAGAUAUACUUGGACAAAAGGAAAGAAAAUUAGGGUUGACAUUUGGUGUAAUUUUAUUGUUUGGUGAAUUAAGAUAAUUUUUGGUCUGUUUUUUAAGCCUCAAGUCCGACCCGGAUAAAAUUGCUAAAAUUUAAAAUAAAUUUAAAAAAUAUAAUAUAUCAGAUACAUUAAAAUAAAUGUUUCUCAACAAAUUGAAAAUGACUUUAAAAAUUAUUUAUACUUAAAUAACACUAAGAUAGGUGCAACUUAACAAGCAAAUACCUCUAAAAUAGUAGCAAAAGUAACAAUAAAAUAAGAAUUAUACUGUAUCCCAAUAAUAACAACAAAAUAGUAACAAUAUAAUAGUGAAACGGCAACAAAAAGCAGCAGGUUUUUUUUUGGCAAAAUCGGGUCAGGCCAAAAAAUCUUACGUAAGGCCUGUCUUGUUUAGAAAAAUCUCUUUAUUUUUCGCCCAAGCCCUCCCACUUUUCGGACGGAGGCUUGAUCCAUUAUCAGGUCUAAUUAAAAGGUUGAAAAGUUGAAAAUAAUAAUAAUAAUUUGAGUGGAAGAAGGAAGAAAAAUUAAAAAAGAAUGAUAUUUUUCAAGGUAUAUUAGUCAUUUUACCAUUUUUAAAAUUUUAAAUUAGAAAAUAAAUAAUAAAUAAGAUAUUUUAUUGGACUAAUUGUAUUUCUUAGAUAAAAGUUUCAAUGGUUAAAUCCUAGCCAUUGAUUAAAUAAUAAAAUGAAUAAAUAAAUAAAUAAACAACUAGAAGAUAGAAGAGAGAUAAUUCUUUUCUCUAUAAGGACUAAUUUGUAAAAAUUUUUAUUCUAAAGAUUGAGUAGCGAAAUCUAAAAAUUGAAUUAGCUCUAAAUUAUAUGAUUAUGAAAGAAAAUUGGAAAGUUAAGCAUAAAAUAGUAAAGUUUGAAACUAUAGGGAUUAAAUUGUAAAGAUUUCAAAACAUCAGUUUAGAACUAAUUUAUAUGGUUUUAGAGUUUACAAUUCUGAAAAUAGAAUAUGAAAGUUUAAUGGUUCAAAAAUUAGGGACUAACUUGUGAAAAUUUUGAUAACAUUUUAACUGCAGAGAUUAAAUUAUAAAAUCUGGAAAUUUUGAAAAGAAGAAGAAAAAAGGAUGUUUUGAAAAAUUGUGCAAGCUGGGACUUAACACUAAACUGAAAAUAAAAAUAAGAAAAUAUGAUUUCUAGGGAUUGAACUGUAAAAUAGUGUAAAUUUGGGGCUACGAGGACUAAAUCGCAAAUAAUAAAUUCACCCAAAAAUACUCUGGAAAUAGGAUUUAGGAUUCUCUAAUUAAAAUUUUAAUAAUAUAAAAUUUUAGAAAGAAAUUUAAUAUCGUAUGGAAUCCAAAUAAUGUCAGAAAAGUAAAUAAAAGUUAAGGAUUGAAAUUAAAAAUUUUAAUGUGAGAUUCAUUGUUCUUAUAUGUUAAUGAAUUGGAGUAAAGGAUGUUACAAAAACACUAUUGCAAGUUGCAUGAAUGAGAUGAAAAACAUACAAAGCCAAGGUAAAAAUACAAAAGAUCUUUGUGUUGUAGCAAUUUUGUUUGAUAAUUAAAGGUGUUUAUGGGUCGGUUCGAGCUGGGUCUAAGUAUGAUAUUAAUAUAUUUUAUGUUUGCUCAUGUUUGGUCCGGCCUGAAAUCUAGGCCUAAAAUUUAACUAAAACCUGUCCAUAUUUGCAAAAGGCUAACUGAAGCCCAUUUUAGGCCUGACUAUAUUGUUUUUGAAAUAUUUAUUUUAUUUAUUUUUUAUUUUUUGAAAUAUUUUAUAUAGUUGUCUUAACAUUAUUUUAAUGUUUACAUUAGAGUAAUAUUAUAUAUUUAAUAUAAGUUUAUUUUUUAAUGUGUUCUAAAUCAUAUAAUAUAUACAAAUAACAUCAUAUAAAAUAUUAUAAACUUAAAAUUGGUCAAGUCAUGUCGGUCUCGAACCUUGAAUGUUAAAUCCCAAGCUCAGCCCAUAUUUUAAACGAGCCUAAUAUUUUUACCUGAACUCUUUCAAAAUUCGAACAAGUCAUCAAGUCUGAAUGGGUAACUUGACCAAUGAAUUGGUCUAUCAAUAAUAGCUUAAUAUUUAUUAUAAUAAAAUAUAAUAAAAUGUAUACAUUCAAACAUUGUGCAGAGCUUACAAGUAAAUUUCAUAGUCCAAAUGGGUUUGGGCCUUAUUUGGGCCAAACCUUUUUUCAAAAAAUAAUAAAACUAAAGGACAAUAAUAAUAAAUAAAUAAAAUUAUAAAAUGUUAUUUCAGCCAUUUGAAAAAAAAAUUAGUAUAAUGAUAAUUAAGAAAUAGUAACAUAUAGGGCUUUAAAAAAUUAAUGAUUUAUUUUACAUAGAUAAAAAUAUUAUCGAAGUUUCUGUACUAGAAAUCGGAUUAUAUUUUAUUUUCUUUAUUCAAGAAAUGAAUAAAUUAUUUAUUGUACGUUAUAUUAAAGAGCAAAUUGAUUUUUCUGUUAAAAAUUCUAUCCGUCUUUACUGUUAAAUACUGACGUGGUUGAUAGAGCAACCAGACAGUGACACUUAGUGUGCCAAGUGUACAGGGACAAGCCAAAAUUUUACUUUAAGCGAUCAUAGUUGAAUUAUAAAAUUUUAUCAUUAUACUAAGAAAUUUCCUAAAUUUCAAAGGGUCUAAAUGAAAAUUUUACCAUUUAGAGAGACCAAGGCCAUUGCUUUCACCAUGGAAGGACAAAUUCAAGCAGAAUGGAUGAAAUUUUUGACGUGGAGAGACUAAUUCAAGCAAUCAGAUAAUAAUACGUCAUCACUUAAAAGUAGAAAUAAAUAGAAAUUUUAAUAAAUAAACCAAUUUACUUUUUAAUUUAAUGUAUAUAAUAUAAUUUGCAAAUUUUUAAAAUAAAAUAUAAUUUAAUUUAAUACAGAAGUAUCGGUCAUCCUUUUAGCUCUUACCUCUUACAUCGUAUGUGUUAGAAUCUCAUGCAAAGAUGCCCCAUGUGAUGGUAAUGGUUCCCUCGAGGUCCAAAGAGUCAUGCCCAUCCGCAAGAACAAGAAAAAGAUAUCUGACACAUUAAAAAAUUGACACCCAAAACAUGAAAUAGACAUGGAGGCUAUGCAUGACACUAACAACAGUGGCAACUUCAAAGCCAAAUGGUUCAAAUCCAUUACAUUUCUUCUUCUUUUUUUUGUUGUUUUUUAUCAUAGUUUUUUAUCAUAUCUGUUGUUUUUUACAUAAUACUUAAAAUUACCCAAAACCUCCCCUCCAACCCAUAAAUAGAAGGAUAAUGCGCUUCAGUGUAUUCAAAUCCACGUCCUCUUACAUUAAUAACAAUACUCAUACCAAUCGAGCUAAAACUCAAUCGGUAAUUAUAGGAUUCUUAAAUCUUAACCAAAAUCGCCAAAAAGAAACAAUAUAGUUUAUAUAUUUGGUUCAAAGAAAUUAUCUCAGCUAAUCAAACCCACUUAAAAAAAGAUUAAACUAGUAAGCCCAAAGUUGUAAUUAAUUGCAUUAGGGUUUUCUUAUGAUAAACUAGUAAGUGUACGUGUUAGUCAUUCACUUUAAAAAGUUACAAAAUAGUUAUUAAAGUUAUUGAAUUAUUCGGAAAUUUUUAUCUAAUUCAUUGUGCAAUUAAGUUUUUUUUAAGUCCAAUUAGUGAGCUCCAAGUAAUGAUUCGGUGAUUGGUAUGACGGAUUAGUACCCAUCGACGAGUAGAAAAACAUACCUUAGAUCCAAAUUGACCUAAUGAUCAAUGUCGAAGAUUAGAGAAAAAAGUUGUUUUUGAGACUCUUUGCCUCGUAUUGAUUAUCUAUUUGACCAAUUAAAAGAAGCUUUAGUCGUUUUUAAGAUCAAUCUUAGGUCAAAAUAUUACUAGUUAAAGGUGAAAGACAAUAAUGUGCUGAAAAUAGCAUUCCGUACACGAUAUGGCCGUUAUGAAUUUUUGGUGAUGCUGUUUGGAUUGAAUAACGCUCUUGUAGCAUUUAUGAAUCUCAUGAGUCGCAUAUUCCAACCCUUUCUGGCCCAAUUAAUAGUAGUAUUCAUUGAUGACAUCUUAAUUUAUUCAAGAUCUGAAGCUAAGCACGAGAAACACCUCAAAAUUGUUUUACAAGCCUUGCGAGAGAAGCAACUAUAUGGGAAGCUAAGCAAAUGUGAAUUUUGAUUGUCUGAGGUUAUAUUUUUGGGACAUAUUGUUUCAGCAAAAGAGAUCCGUGUUGGUCUGAAGAAAAGUGAAGCUAUUGUGCAGUGGAAAGCCUUGAAAAAUGUGUCAGAGAUCCAUAAGUUCCUUAGUUUGGCCAGUUAUUACUGAAGGUUCAUGAAUGGUUUUUUAAGGAAAGUUAUGCUAAUAACGAAAUUAUUACAAAAGAACAUUAUUUAUAUGAAAUUAUAACAUCCCGAAAUAGGGCCUAGGACCAAAAGACUUAACUUCUGAUUAAUUACACUCAUUCAUUUAUAGUUAUUGAAAUACUAUAAAUAUUUGAAAAUGUUCCAACAAUCUCCCAUUUUCAAAGUAUUUUAGAUUUUGAUAUUCUUGGAAAUCAAUUUGCAUAAAUGAAGGUGUCUUACGGUUGAACUUUCACUUAGUGAAAACAUGUUAAAGUUAAUCGAAAUUGCAUGGUAGACUAAGAUUUAGACAAACUAUUACAUUAGAUUAACCGAACACAUCUCACACAAUGAUUUCAACAACGGUCAAUGCAUAGUAUCCAGGGACACUAUUAUGGCCAUGUGUCUGUGUCGUCUUUUCAUGAGUGCUGUUAGAGCCAUGCCUUUAAGCUCCUAGAAGCGGCCACACUUCUACUCACAUAGGUACAUCUCAUCAAGAGUGUUCCCGUAAUUAUAACACACUUAACAUAUUUAUUUUAUGAGUCCAUUAAGAGUACAUUACUCAUCCUUCCUAAUGAUUACGGGUACCUAGCACUUUAAUCUUAGGAUGGAUUUAUUUACAGUGCUAACAGUCUCAUACUAAUAAUUUACUUUGUCUCAUUAAACUCAAGACUUGACGUCACACCAAGCGUUGAAUCAAGUUUCCAUCAUGGGUGACUUUAAUUAAUGGGCUUGAGUUGAGUCUCAUCCCUUUUGAGGUCUUGUUGACUACAUCUCUAGCAAUAUUUUUUGUCAAAGGAUCUGCCAAAUUUUCUCUUGAACUCAUAUAAUUAAUAGUGAUCACUCCAUCAAAGAUUAAUUGUUGAAUAUAGCUAUGUCUUAAUCCAAUGUGUCUAGACUUUCUAUUAUAUACUUGGCUAUAUGUCUUUGCUAAAGUAGUCUCACUAUCACAACAGAUAGAAAUAGGUGAAAUUGGUUUAGGCCACAGAGGCACAUCAUAAAGCAACUUUAUCUUUAAAAGAGGAUUAUUUCUCUUAAAAAGAUGCUAUCAAAUAAGCCUUCCAAAACGGUAAAUUAAAGGAGUUUGUAGCAUAGGGCGUUUCAACAUUGAGAUAGGGUUCGCAAAGCUCAAACAAAGGCAAGCAGCAUGUCAGGGGUACUGUACAUGUUAUUAUAGGUACGAAUGAUGAAUGGGCGACUUCUAAUUCAAAGAGGAAAGCUCAUCUUUCAAAUGUGAUUUCUUUUAAUAUAGUUAAUAAGCCAUAUCAACAGGAGAAGUGACGGGUUGAGUUCAGCACAGAAGAUGAGGAUGCUAUUUGUGAUGAAGAGGAAAAUGAUCCUAUGGUAGCCACAACAACGGUGGCAAGUUUUCAGGUUAAGAGGAUAUUGGUAGACAGUAGGAGUGCUGUUGAGGUAUUAACUUGGGAAGUUUAUUGUAAGAUGAGGUUGAAGGAGCAAGCUUUGAAGAAAGAAAGCUCGUUGUAUGGUUUCGCAAAUCAACCGAUAGAUGUAAAAGGAUAUAUCACCCUACUUGUCACCUUGGGAGAUGGAGAGCACACUACUACAGAGUAUGCUUAUUCUUUGUUGUAGAUCACGUUAUGGCUUACAAUGCUAUCUUUGGUCACCCUAUCAUGCGAAUGGCCAAGAUGAUGAUUGUCACUUUCUAUAUGAUGAUUGUGUUGCCAAUCAUGAUUUCAUUUAUUUGUAUGAUAUGAAGAGCAAGGAGAUGAAGGAAUCCAAGAUGAAAUUGCAAUAUGCAACAAAGUUCAUACCCCUUAGAAGCAACCUUGUUAGUUGGAGAACUAAGAUGGAUUGAUUUAUCUGCAAAAAUAAGCAAAUUUUUCCCUCUAGAUCCUGCUUUGGGUUACUUUAACUUAGGCAAUUUGGUUGUUAAGUAUUCACGCACUUUAGCCCAAUUUGUAGUGAAAAUUUGGUAAAUGCUAACAUGAUUAAAAUAAAAUGCAUAACAGUUGAAUAAGAUAUUGCUUAAAAAAAACAUAUUUCGAAACCGUGAGAAGUCCAAUUUGAGUAUUUAACCCAAAAGAAAUACAAAUGUCGAUUACAUUAAUAAGAACUCAAGCAUUUUUUUUACACUGGAUCGGUGGUUGAACCGAUCUGAUCAUUGGUUCACUGAUUUGAUCGAUCCAAUCAGUCCGAUUAAAAAUUGUUAAAAAUUAAUAAAUCUUGAUCCAACCACUGGUUCAAUCGGUUUUUAGUCAAUUCAUACCGGGUCCCGAUCUAACUGGUUUAAAGUCACUUUUCGAACUGAUUCUCGACCCAAUCAAUCCAUCCAGUCAGUCCGAUCGUUGAAACAAACUCAAAUUUAGAAAUUUUACUUUUGAAGUUGAAACAAACUCAAAUUUAGAAAUGUCACUUUUGAAGGGGAAACUAUGAACAUCUCGGAGUAAAAAAAAAGUUGUGUCAAACCCAAUGAAGAAAUAGAAGUUCCAUCAAUGGGUCAAAUUCUUUUUUGUUGGGUGGUCAAAGGGGGUGAAAGAGAAGACCCAAAAUGAGAACCACAACGACCCAACUCAUCUCUACACUAGACUCUUAGGGUGGGUUUGGAUGGGCCAUUGGGUGCCGUGCGGUGCGUUUAGCUUACUUUUUGUCUCGCGCUACAGUAUCACUACAGUAUCUAAUCUCACCGCCACCGCUGUUUUUACACUAACUGCAGGUAAAUGCACCACCCAUCCAAACUCACCCUUAGUUUUUAUAUUAUUAAUCAAACUACUUGAGAUAAUUGAUUUUAUAUAAUUUAAUCUUAAUAUUACAUGCAUUCAACAUGAUUUUACUUGUUUAUUUUUUAAAAAUGAAUUAAAUAAUUUAUCUUUUUAUCUUAAAAAAAUAGUUUUUUUUUGUUUUGGUAUAAAUCUUAAUUUUAUAUUAUUAAAAUAUUAAUAAAUAUGUAACUCAAAAUUGAAUAAUUUAAAUCAUCGUGAAAGUGUAAUUUAUAUGGAUAUAAAAUGUAAUUUUAGCCUUAAUAAAAUAUUUUUCUAAUAUUUAAAAUAUAAGAAUAAAAUAUUGUUCUAAUAUCAAUUUAGUAACAUCAUGAACACCAAUAAAGGGUAUUUUUAUCGGUUCAAUUUUUUUCUCAGUUUUAUAUAUGCUCAUUUUUUAUGCUACAAAACUAAUUUCAUUUUGAUACUAAAAUUUAAAAUAUAUAAAAAUUUUGAUGACGUGACACUUAGAGAUUUUACCACAUCAUCAAUUGAAAAUUAAAAAAUUAUAUACAUUUUUAAUUGAUGAUGUGAUACAAUCUCAGAGUAGAGGUGCUCAUGGGUCGAGCCCAGAAAAAAAUUUUAGCUUGCAUCCUAGGCCCGGGCCCGGCCCGGCCCAGCCCAAAAUAUGGGCCUAAAAUUUUGUCCAGGCCCAGCCAGGGAAAAAAUUCCUAAGCCCGGCUCGGCCCGGCCCAUUUUUUAAUAAACACCAAAAAUUUAUUUUAAAAAUAAAAAAAGUAUUUUAAAAAUAAGUUAAAAUAAAAAAUAAAAAUAUUUAUUAUAUUCGGGCUGGGCCGGGCCAGGCCCGGGCCAAAAAGUGGUGCUUGAGGCUCGUCCCGUUUUCUAAACGGGCCUCAUUUUUUUGCCCAAACCUAUAUUUCGGGCCUAUAUUUUUACCCGAACCCUCCCAUAUUUCGGGCGGGCCGUCGAGCUUGGCCGGGCAGCCUGGCCCAUGAGCACCUCUAUCUCAGAGUGUCAUAAUCAAUGUUUAAUAACCGAACCGGUGGUUGAACAGGUUGAACCACCAUUUUCCGAUUCAACAAGUUUGAUUGGUUUGAAUGUUGGACCAAAAAUAAUUAAAAAAUAUUUUUUAUUUUAACUAUUGAUUUUUGUCCUUGUUUUCAAUUUUCACCAAUUUAAAACAGUUUUCAAGUUAAUUGGUUCAACCCUUUGUUCGGAUUAUUAUAUUGAUUAGUUCUUGGCAUGUUUGAUCCGUUCCUAUUCUAGUAACACUAUUCACAUCAUCAAGUCUUCAUAGAAUCCAAAUUCAAGGACCAAAAUGAAUCUAUUUACCAAAUUUAAAAAUCAAAGUAAACAAAAAAAAAACAGAAUUAGAUAGAUCAAAAUAAGACAAACUCUAUUUUAAAGUGACCUUAAAUGUAAUUUACCUUAUUAUUAUUUGUUAAUUUUAUUCAAUUAAUCAACCCUAACUAAAAUUAAAAUAUUGUUAAAAGAAAAUUAAUCCAUUUAUUAAAAAAUGAAAUUAAUUGAAUAAAGAAGAGACAAGUAGAGAAGAAAGAAGCAUCUUAUUGGAACUUCCCGACGACAUCAAGGUUGAAAUCCUUGCUAAAAUCCCAACAAAGUUCCUCUACAAGAUAUUCAGGUGUGUAUAUAAAUCAUGGUAUCGAUUGAUAAGUAGCAGCGAGUUCAUGAACAAGACUGCCAUUCAUCAUAACCCAGGAAUAUUCAUCCAAUCCGUCCGGAUCUUCCGUAGUACUACCAACACAAGUUUCUUGCAGAUGGAUGGUCUUAACUUCAACUUAACUAAUCUCGGCUCUUCAAUGGGAAUUAUUAGGUCCAGUUGCAAUAGUCUGGUUCUAGUAUACGAGCCAAUCUGUGUGUUAAGAACUUGUUGACAGGCCCUACUAGUUUAACUCUUCCAAACUGCCUUUCUGGUUGUACGCACAAGCAUGGAUAUCAUGGCCGAGCACCAGGGCGCAUCGUGCAUACUUAUUGUGGCUCAGCAUUAGGGUUCGACCCACUUACAAAGGUAUAUAAAGUGGUGCACAUUAAUAAUGAUGGAUAUGGAAUCGAAGUGUUCACCAUUGGUUCCUAUAAGACAUGGAGAAAGGUUCCACUUCCAUGGCCUGUUGAAAAACCACGUCGUGGAGAUUUUUGAAGAUAUGAAGUUCUUUUGGAGGGAUCCUGUAUCAAUAAAGGGUCAAGUAUUUCACUGGUUUGUUGAUUCAGAAAAGUAUAUAUUCUCCAUGGAUAUAAGCAAUGAAAAGGUGAGUAAAACCAAACUUCCAUACAUUGGGAAAACAAUAAUGAAGGAACAUUAUGAUUUAGUAGCCAUGGAUGAGAAGCUUGCUUUUGUGUAUAAAGGUUCCGAGUCCAAAAUCGAUGUAUGGGUUUUGAAUGAUUUUGGGAGACAGGUUUGGUCAAUGGAACAUUCCAUCGUUGCUAAUUGGGAGGCAGAAAAGAAGUUGCCCCAAUUUAUGAAACUAGUUGCAGUUGCUAGCUGGAGAAAUGGUGAGGUGAUAAUGUUCAAGGCCAUAGAGAACUUCGUUUGGGACCAUCAUGAUUUCAUUUAUUUGUAUGAUACGAAGAGCAAGGAGAUGAAGGAAUUCAAAAUGAAAUUGCAGUACGUAACAAAGUUCAUACCCCAUAGAAGCAGCCUUGUUAGUUGGAGGACUGAGAUGGAUUGAUUUAUCUGCAAAAAUAAGCAAGAUUUUCCCUCUAGAUCCUGUUUUGGGUUACUUUAACUUAGGCAAUUUGGUUGUUAAUUAUUCUUAUAAAUUUGUUUAUUAUGAUAUAUAGAUUUUCAGUUGUUUUUAUAAAUAACUUUUGGAAUUUAAAUUUGGUGAUUAGGUUUAAUUUAUCUUACAUUUUUUUACAUAUUUUAGCAUUUGAACUUGCUAACUGAUCCAUUUUGAUCCAAAACUUAAAAUAUAAAAAUUUUUUCAACCACCGGUCCGGUCCGGUUCAGUUAUUAUACACUAAAUAUGACAUUACAAUAUUCUACCACAUCACCACUUGAAAAUUAAAAAAAAAAGUUGAUGAUGUGGUAUAAUCUUAUAGUGUCAUAUUUAGUGUUUAAUAACUGAACCAAUGGUUGAACUGGUCAGACAACCAUUUCUCGAUUCAACAAAUUUGAUUGGUUUGAACAUUGGACCAAAAAUAAUUAAAAAAUCAUAAAAAUAUAAAGCAGUAAUUAAAAAAAGUACUUUUUGUCCUUGUUUUCGAAUUUCACCAAUUCAAAGCAGUUUUCGAGCUAAUUGAUUCAAUCCCUUUGUUUGGAUUAUUAUAUCGAUUAGUUCUCGACCUGUUCGAUCUGUUCCUGUUCUAGUAACACUAUUUACAUCAUCAAUUUUUUAUAGAAUUCAAGUUUGGGGACUAAAAUACAUCUAUUUGACAAGAUUAAGAAUUAAAGUGAAAAAAAAAUUUGUUGGGCUGAUGGGUUUGUUUUAAUUUAAUUUAAAAUUAAAUUACACAUAUAAUAAUUCCCAAGGUUUAUAUGGUAGAUCAAAUGAAAGGGUAAAUAGAAACCUCCACUAAAGAUGCACAAAGUGAAGCAAAAUGAGAGAAAAAGAAGUAACAAAAAUGAAGAAUGAAACCAGCGUAGUAAUAGCUAAUGCCAUAUUUAAGUUUCAAACAAGGCCCCCUCAAACUUAAAAAGAUAACAAUAAUCCAGACUAGCUAUUAGCACAGGCCACCUUAAACCUACUCCAGACUAGCUAGUAGGUGAGACUAUUGUUAGUGACCAAAUAAAUGGGCUCAAACCCAUACUUAAUAGCACAGGCCAACACCCUAAUAACACAAAUAUUAUCAACAAACUGAGCAUACCGGCUAUUAGCCCAAUGCAUAAUGGAACAGGCCCAAGAGCAUCACAUGGAAUCUUCAUCCCCACUAGCGUAGAUGCUUAAACACAUCACCCUCCUUGCUCCUCCAUGAAAUAACAAGACAAGCUUCUGCCAACUCAAAUCAUUUAGCAGAAUGAAACACGACUUAAUGCCCUUGAAGAUGCAGAGGGAUCCAGGUACAAGCCAGAGCAACCUCAAGCAAGCAUUAAAAAGAUUUAUAAAUACCAAUAUCACGACAUUGACCGGGUAUGGCCACAGACCAGAGUUCUCACCAUUUUACUAUUUUCUUCAAGCUUUAUUAACUUAAGCAUCAGAAGGUGCCUUGGAGUAUAGACUCAACUGACAGUUCAUCAACCAAUUUUAAGUCUUGAAUACUUUGACCUCCUAAUUAUUCAACCUUAAAAGUAUACAACGGACAGCAAUACAACAUUAGCCCACAAACUUAGAAUUUAUUAGUAUUUAGCACCAACUUUCCUGUACCGAAAGGAUAAUUUUUGUGCUGACUUGGUUGAUUCCGAAGAAAAAAAACAAAUCAGGGAAAAGGGACUUUUGCAUAUGGUUUUGCCCCGACCACCACGACCAAGGCCUUGAAAACGAAGCAUCCUUCUAAACUUUCAUACUACUCCCAUUUAAUUCAUAUAUUUUAAAAGUUAAAAUUUUAAUUAUCGUAUAUUUUUAAUUUAAAUAUUUUAGUCCAAUCAUCAACGUCGACAGUUUCCAUCUAUAUUUGUCAACUUAACAUUAGGGGAGAAGCCAAAACUUUUUUUUGGGGGAGGAAGGAUCGAAAUUAUGUUAUAUAUUUUAUGAGAGCUAAAAUGCAAUUUUACAAUCUUAAUACCUUAUACCUUUAUAAUUUUUAAAUGACUAAAUCAAAAGUUUAUUUUUUUAGGGGUAAAGUGUAAUUUUAUCUUUUAUUAAAUUAAANNNNNNNNNNNNNNNNNNNNNNNNNNNNNNNNNNNNNNNNNNNNNNNNNNNNNNNNNNNNNNNNNNNNNNNNNNNNNNNNNNNNNNNNNNNNNNNNNNNNNNNNNNNNNNNNNNNNNNNNNNNNNNNNNNNNNNNNNNNNNNNNNNNNNNNNNNNNNNNNNNNNNNNNNNNNNNNNNNNNNNNNNNNNNNNNNNNNNNNNNNNNNNNNNNNNNNNNNNNNNNNNNNNNNNNNNNNNNNNNNNNNNNNNNNNNNNNNNNNNNNNNNNNNNNNNNNNNNNNNNNNNNNNNNNNNNNNNNNNNNNNNNNNNNNNNNNNNNNNNNNNNNNNNNNNNNNNNNNNNNNNNNNNNNNNNNNNNNNNNNNNNNNNNNNNNNNNNNNNNNNNNNNNNNNNNNNNNNNNNNNNNNNNNNNNNNNNNNNNNNNNNNNNNNAUGUAUGAUUUGUUCGUGUAUUUUGUAAAAUUAUUAUUUAAAUAAAAAAUAUUAAUUAAAAACAUUUAAAAUAUAUAAAAAUUCUAAAUAAAAAAUAUAAAUUUAAUUUAAUUUGGACUGCCAUUUAGGACUGCUGUUAGGGAGGUAAUGAAACUUAACAGUAGAGUAACCACUUUGUAACAAAACAAUAAUAUAAAUGACUAAAACGUAAAAUUUCAAAUUAAUUGAUAUAUAAUGAAUCUCAGGCAUAAUCAUAGUUUUUGCAAGUGAUCAAGAUGAACAAUACUAUGAGUUGAGUGUUCUUUUUAUAGAUUUAAUACAUAAUUUUGUAUAUGAAUUUGAUACUUUUUAACGUAGUAUUUGUAUUGAUUUUUGUCGAAUAUAAUAUAUGUAUUUGACAAAAGUUAUACAUUUUCGUUCCUGUAAGUAACAAUAUUAAUUUUUUAGUGUUUAAUUCAGGUUUUAGAAUUGGUUUGAUGAAAGCUAAUAAUAUUAGAAAUUAACUUUGAUCAAAUCAAUCCUAAAAUUCAAAUAAAAUCACAGUUAUUGGGCCAUAUUUGAUGAAUGAAACGCAAAACUAAACUCAACGAAUUCAGAAUCAACAUUAAAUUUAUUCUAUAUUAACAAAAUCAUGAAAAAUUCAAAACCUAAUAGUAUUAGCAAUUCACUUUCAUUAAAUCAACCUUAAACUCGAAUUAGAUACUAAAAAGUUAACAUUGUUACAUUUGGGUACCAAAAUAUAUAACUUUUGUCAAAUACAAGUAUCAAACUAGACCAAAAAAUAGCACAAAUGUCAAAAUUUACUAUAUUAUUGUUAAAAAAUACAUAAAAAUCUCUAAAAUAUUAUCUUCUUGUAUAUGAUAUAACCAACAACACCAAAAGAGAGAAUGGGACGACAUUAGUGGGAGGAGUAACCUCGAACUCCAAAUAUAAACCGUAAAAUAGAUAUAAAAAUUAUCAGAAAGUUAUUAAUUCAAUUUAUUUUAUUUUAACAUAAAAUUUCUUACAUGGUCUCCUAAAAAUAAAGCUAGUUCUUGCUGCAUAACAUUUAUACUUAUCAUAAAGUCUUUAAUUGAGUUGAUAUCACAGGUUAACUAAUUACCAACUCAAUUAGGAAAAGACGAAAAUAUUCUCACUUAACAAAGUAAAUAAUAUUAUUUAACGAAUGUUUUUAUCAUAUAAAAAAAUGUUCACAAUAAAAUUUAAACCUAUAUCUUUUUAAUUUUUUAUAUUUAUAUUUUAAUUAUAUAGAUUUUUUAUAAAUAAUUUAUUAGAUAAUUUUAGAUUUUUUAUUUAAAUAACCCAAAUAAUUUAAUUAAGUACCAAAAUGACCUACAUUUUUAAUUAAACACCAAAAUGACCUGAAAUCUUCAAUAAAAGUUGGUGCAGCCAAAUUAUAUGGCGCCACCAACUUGUCGCGUCAGCAGGGAGCAUUAAAAAAUUAUUUUUUUGGUGGAGCCAUGUCAAAUGGCGCCACCUGUAUAUAUAUUAUGAAAAUACUGUAAGUUCUGAAAAAAUGGAGGACUUGAAAACAAUUUUCUAUUUUCUGGUGGAGCCAACUUAAAUGGCACCACUAGACCCUUCUUUUAUUUAUUUAUUUUUACUUUUUUAUUAACUUUUGUCUUUUUCUUAAAUUUUUUUUCUUUUUUUAAGUUUUAUAUUUUUUUCUUAUCUUAUUUUGUUUAUUUUAUUUAUUUAUUGUUGUUAAUUUUAAAAAAUUUGAAAUGUAUAUUUGAAAUUUUUUAUAAUAUAUAUUUUUUAAAAAUUUUAAAUAUUAUUUUUAAAUUAUUUUUUAAAUUUUGAAUAUUAUUUUGAAUAAAUAAAAUAAAUAAACAANNNNNNNNNNNNNNNNNNNNNNNNNNNNNNNNNNNNNNNNNNNNNNNNNNNNNNNNNNNNNNNNNNNNNNNNNNNNNNNNNNNNNNNNNNNNNNNNNNNNUAAAAAAUAAAAGAAGAGUGUCAGGUCUUGUCUGGUGGCGCCAUUUAAGUUGGCUCCGCCAGAAAAUAAAAAAUUGUUUUCAAGUCCCCUAUUUUUUCAGAACUUGUAAUAUUUUCAUAGUAUUUAUACAGGUGACGUCAUUUUACAUGGCUCCAUCAAAAAAUUAAUUUUUUAAUACUUCCUGCUAACGUGGCAAGUCUGUGGCGUCAUAUAAUUUAGCUCCACCAACUUUUAAUGUAAAUUUUAAAUCAUUUUGGUGUUUAAUUAAAAAGAUGAAUCAUUUUGAUACUUAAUUAAAUUAUUUGGGUUAUUUAAAUAAAAAAACCGAUAAUUUCACUCCUGAAAUGACAUAAAAGGUGGAAAAUGGACAAACUGUCAUAAUCAUAAAAGGUGGAAAAUGGGUAGAUAUUCCUUGAAGUACAGUUGAAAAGUAGAACCCACCAUUGGUAUAGUUAAGCCCUGCAUGUGAUGCUGUGGACCGUCAUCAUCAUGAAUUUGUCAAUGGUCUUAUAAUAUCCAAAUAAAUACCACUGGUUGAUAGAUUAGAGUGGAAUUUAGGAAUUAUGUGUGAACAUGGACUCAUACAAUCAAGCCAAGAACAUUUAAUGUAAAACGUGUAUUCACAUUCAUCCUUUAUUUUUAAUUCGGUUGACAUGGGUAUUGUUAUUUAUCAAUGUAGAAGGACCUGUGUUCAAGUGCACUGAAAUACAUCAUCCUCCUAUUUAUGGGUUGGGGUGGGGCUAUAGAUAGGGGUGAACAAAACUCGAUUCCAUCCGAAUUUCAAAUAAGUAAUUCGAGUUCGAAUCGAGUUGAAUUGAGAUCUAGGCAUUGUGUAAGAAAAAAAGAAACAGAUAUGAACAGAACCUAUGAGAUUGUUCAAAAAAAAAAUCUGAAUAUCAUAGUUUGUAACUUGAUCGUAAAAGUUGAACUACUUGAUUGAUUAAAUCGAUUAAUUUGAUGGUUCAAUUAUAUAUAUCGAAUAGAAAAAAAAAGAAUAAAAAAUUAAUUAAGGAAAAAAUUUGAGUUUUUAUUGAUAAUAUAUAUUUUAAUAAAAAAUUAAUUAAGGAAAAAAUUUGAGUUUUUAUUGAUAAUAUAUAUUUUUUAUUUUUAACAAAAAAAUAUUGUGUUUUUAUAGAAGUUUUUCAUUAAUUUUUGUUCAUUUUCAUCAUUGAUCUUUUGGAAAUAUAAUUUUUCCUUUUCUUAUUUUUCUUUUCGCGUAAUAUAACAAUUGUUUUUCCUAAACAUACUUUUUAAGUUAAUGUUUUUUUUUUAUAGAUUUAAUAUAUAAUUUGGUAUAUGAAUUUGAUAAUUUUUAACGUAGUAUUUGUAUUGGUUUUUGUCGAAUAUAAUAUAUGUAUUUGACAAAAGUUAUACAUUUUGGUACCUGUAAGUAACAAUGUUAAUUUUUUAGUGUUUAAUUCAGGUUUUAGAAUUGGUUUGAUGAAAAUUAAUAAUAUUAGAAAUUAACUUUGAUCAAAUCAAUCCUAAAAUUCAAAUAAAAUCACGGUUAUUGGGCCAUAUUUGAUGAAUGAAACGCAAAACUGAACUAAACGAAUUCACAAAUCAACAUUAAAUUUAUUCUAUAUUAACAAAAUCAUGAAAAAUUCAAAACCUAAUAGUAUUAGCAAUUCACUUUCAUUAAAUCAACCUUAAAACUCGAAUUAAGCACUAAAAAGUUAGCAUUGUUACUUAUAUUUUAUGUUAUUAGAUGAUGAUAUGAUUUUGUUGCUUAUAUGAAAUGGAAAUUUACUAUAUUAUUGUUAAAAAAAUACAUAAAAAUCUCUAAAAACAUUAUCUUCUUGUAUAUGAUAUAAUCAACAACACCAAAAGAGAGAAUGGAACGACAUUAGUGGGAGGAGUAAUCUCGAACUCCAAACAUAAACCGUAAAAUAGAUAUAAAAUUUCUUACAUGGUCUCUUAAAAAUAAAGCUAGUUCUUGUUGCAUAACAUUUAUACUUACUAUAAAGUCUUUAAUUGAGUUGAUAUCACAGGUUAACCAGUUACCAACUCAGUUCAGAAAAGACGAAAAUAUUCUCACUUGACAAAGUCAAUAAUGUUAUUUAACGAAAUAAAAUUUAAACCUAUAUCUUUUUAAUUUUUUAUAUUUAUAUUUUAAUUAUAUAAGUUUUUUAUAAAUAUAUUUAUUAGAUAAUUUUAUUCUUCUCCUGAAAUGACAUAAAAUGUGGAAAAUGGACCAACUUUCAUAAUCAUGAAUUCCUGUAUUCCUGGAAAUACAGCUGAAAAGUAGAACAUACCAUUGGUAUAGUUAAGCCCUGGGAUGCUAUGGACCGACUGUCAUAAUCAUGAAUUAGACAAAAGGUCUUAUAAUAUUCAAAUAAAUACUGCUGGUUGAUAAAUUAGAGUGGAAUUUAGGAAUUACGUGUGAACAUGGCCAAAAACAUUCAAGAAAACAUUGAUUUUUGAUCAUUUUCAUCAUUCAUCUUUUCGAAAUAUAAUUCGUUAAAAAAAUUUGUGCUAUGCUAUAAAAAUAUCGUCAGUAUUAGAGGAAAUCCGUGUUAAUGCAUUGAGCUACGCUUGAUGAAUUAAUAUUAAAUAAGAAAUUUCAUGUUAUCUGCCAUAUGUCAAUCAUAUGUUAGAUUUUUUUGCUACCUCAUAUAUAUAUAUAUAUAUAUAUAUUGGUGAAUGAAACAUCGUUAAAAAAAACUAUUCAAAGAUACAGCCAAAUCCCCCAUGGGGGUAUUACAAAAAAAUUGAGUACUACCAUUGUUACUAACAGGCUUCCUAGCCAAACAAUCGGCCUCUUUAUUAUAAACUCUAGAAACAUGUUGAAUCGAUUAUUAUGACAAAUUAGUCAAUUGUGAAUUAAUUCUUCUUACUGAAGCGGAAUUCGACAUCUUGUAGCACUCUCUUGUAUUGCUUGUAUUGCCUCUACACUAUCUAGAACGAUAAUGAUUCUGUUGAACACCCUCUCAAUAACAAUGACCAAACUUUCCAACAUGCCCCACAUGUUUUUAUAUUUUCUUUUCCUUUUAAUUGUCUUAAUCUUCCCAUUAAUCAGAGAUUCGCAUUUUCAUUGAAAAACAUCAACCUUUGUUAAAUCAUAAAUGUAGACAAAAAAGAAAAUAUUUGAAUAGAAAUUAUAUUGAACCUAUCGAUAUCUUUAUCCUAUCGAUCUAAUAUCUUCUAUAUAUUAAUGUAUAUUUAACUGUUGAAUAUAUUUUUACAUAAAAUAAAUAGUUAGAAACUUUUAAUUUACAACAUUCUAAGAUUUGUUUUAUUUUAUUUUUAUAAAUUACGAGAAGAGAGUAAAGUCUUAACAAUAAUAUAACUAGUUUAACUUGAACCCAUGCGACACCUGUUAAAAGAAACCUCAAAAAACAACUCCAACAUCAGACGAACCACACAACACUAUAAUCAAAACACAACAUCCCAAGUAAAUAACAUGUCUUACCACUCUAAAAACAAUCACCAUUUAGCAAUUAACCCUAAACAACAAAAGAAGGAACUGUUUCCGACAAAGACUAGGUUGCUUGAAUUGUCAAACAAGUUAAUAUUUUAUUUUUUUUAUUUUUUUUUUAAAUCUUUUUCCAGCUCUAAAUUGAUGUGAAACAAGAAGAAGACUUGGUUCAAGUCAAGCCAAAGCAUCAAAAAAAAAAACCCAUAACUCACGCUAGAUGGAGGGAUCCCGAGCGCAAUUUUCCCGUUCACCACAGAAACACGCGGAUCCUGUGGGCUGCGGGUCGGGUCACUAGUCGGCCUCCCAAAAACGACACUGUUUUGGCGCCUGGGGAGGCUUGCUGAAACGAUGACACCAUUUUUUUUUAAAACACCAUUUCUGUCAAAAAACCUAAAACGAACCUAAAACUCUCCUUUUCUCUCCUCUCCCCUCACUUUCUCUGAUCAACGGACCGCGCCGCCACCAUGGUCGACGGGCAGUGGCGAAAGACUGGGCUUUUACCCCUUUUUAAGUCCGAUGGACGGUACCGAUGAUGAGAGGCCGAAAGAAAAAGGAGAAAUCUAACCACCCCUUUUAGCUCGAUUCCGACAACGGCGAAGGGACCUCCAUCGACGGGGCCAUGCGGCGGUUCCAGGUAAGGUUUUCCUUUCCUUUUCUUUAUUUGAUUUUUAUUAUAAUUAUUUAAAAUGGAUUUGUAAAAAAGAAAAAAAUAAAAUAAAAUAAAUAAAUAAAUAAAUAAAAGAAAAACAAGAAAACGAAGAGGAAAUAGUAAAGGGUCAACCUUUUAAAAUUUCUAUUCGACUUUUGAUUUCUAAUGUGUGUAAAAAAAUACAACGGUGAGAUUCGGGCUUUUUGUAGCCGAAUCAAAAUGUUUGCUUCUUCUUUAUUGCCUGCUUCUACCAUUAUUGCCAGCGUGCCUCCCUUUUUGCUAUUGUAUUCAAUUUUUUUGCAGGUGUUAGGCGCGUGGAUGACCAGUGAUAGGCGAACCUCAGGCGGUGGCGGCGUGCGGCGCAGAUGGGGCGGUGACAGCAGCAAGGCGUGCGGCGCUGGAGGCUUAGGGUUUCCCUUCUUGGCUGAAAAUUUUUUAAUUUGUGGGCUACGGUUAGAUCUGACUUGGGCUAGACUUUGGGUUUGAUUGGGAUUAAUUUGGGUAGUGGGUUUAUUUUUGUAAAAUGGACUAUAAUAUAUAUAUUUUUAAUUUGGUUUAGUUUAUUCAAUGCGGCCCGGACAAAAAUGGACUAUUACACUUAGAAUUUAUUAGUAUUUAGCACCAACUUUCCUGUACCGAAAGGAGAAUUUUUGUGCUGACUUGAAUAUUUUAAAUGGUCAAGUUUACAAUGACUUUAUUGAGAAACAAAUUGGUUGAAGCAGGGAAGAGGGACUUUUGCAUGUGGUUUUGCCCCGACCACCACGACCAAGGCCUUGAAAACCAAGUAUCCUUCUAAACCUUCAUACUACUCCGAUUUAAAAUGUGUAUAACAUUUGUUUUAUAUAUGUGCAUAUUAGUUUUCUAUCCCAUGCGAUGUAUGAUUUGUUCGUGUAUUUUAUAAAAUUAUUAUUUAAAUAAAAAUAUUAAUUAAAACUAUUAAUAAAAAAUAUUUAAAGAAUUUACCUAAUCUUUUGAAAUAUAAUAUAUUUAUAAUAUUAUAAAUAUAAUUUAAUUUGGACUGCCAUGUAGGAGUGCUGUUAGGGAGGUAAUGAAACUUAACGGUAGUGUAACCACUUUGUAACAAAACAAUAAUAUAAAUGACUAAAACGUAACAUUUCAAAUUAAUUGAUUUAUAAUGAAUCUCAGGCAUAAUCAUAGUUUUUGCAAGUGAUCAAGAUGAACAAUACUCUGAGUUGAGUGGUUGUUAUUUGUUCAAUUUUUUUUUCCUAAACAUACUUUUUAAGUUAAUGUUUUUUUUUAUAGAUUUAGUAUAUAAUUUGGUAUAUGAAUUUGAUACUUUUUAACGUGGUAUUUGUAUUGUUUUUUGUCGAAUAUAAUAUAUGUAUUUGACAAAAGUUAUACAUUUUGGUACCUGUAAGUAACAAUGUUAAUUUUUUAGUGUUUAAUUCAGGUUUUAGAAUUGGUUUGAUGAAAAUUCAUAAUGAGCUAAUAAUAUUAGAAAUUAACUUUUAUCAAAUCAAUCCUAAAAUUCAUAUAAAAUCACAGUUAUUGGGCCAUAUUUGAUGAAUGGAACGCAAAACUGAACUCAACGAAUUCAGAAUCAACAUUAAAUUUAUUCUAUAUUAACAAAAUCAUGAAAAAUUCAAAACCUAAUUGUAUUAGCAAUUCACUUUCAUUAAAUCAACCUUAAACUCGAAUUAAAUACUAAAAAGUUAACAUUGUUACAUUUGGGUACCAAAAUAUAUAACUUUUAUCAAAUACAAGUAUCAAACUAGACCAAAAAAUAGCACAAAUGUCAAAAUUUACUAUAUUAUUGUUAAAAAAUACAUAAAAAUCUCUAAAAAUGUUAUAUUCUUGUAUAUGAUAUAACCAACAACACCAAAAGAGAGAAUGAGACAACAUUAGUGGGAGGAGUAACCUCGAACUCCAAAUAUAAACUGUAAAAUAGAUAUAAAAAUUAUCAAAAAGUUAUUAAUUCAAUUUAUUUUAUUUUAACAUAAAAUUUCUUACAUGGUCUCCUAAAAAUAAAGCUAGUUCUUGUUGCGUAACAUUUAUACUUAUUAUAAAGUCUUUAAUUGAGUUGAUAUCACAGAUUAACCCGUUACCAAUUCAGUUAGAAAAAGACGAAAAUAUUCUCACUUAACAAAAUAAAUAAUAUUAUUUAAUGAAUAUUUUUAUCAUAUAAAAAAUGUUCACAAUAAAAUUUAAACAUAUAUCUUUUUAAUUUUUUUAUACUUAUAUUUUAAUUAUAUAAAUAUUUUGUAAAUAUAUUUAUUAGGUAAUUUUAUUCUCCUCCUGAAAUGACAUAAAAGGUGGAAAAUGGACCAACUGUCAUAAUCAUAAAAGGUGGAAAAUGGGUGGAUAUUCCUUGAAAUAGAGCUGAACAGUAGAACACACCAUUGGUAUAGAUAAGCCCUGUGAUGCUAUGGACCAACUGUCAUAAUCAUGGAUUAGUCAAAGAUCUUAGAGUAAGUAUAAAUGUAAAAAGUGUAUUCACAUUCAUCCUUCAUUUAAAAAAAACUCUCAACCAUCGAUUGAGUCUCAAUUCAGUUAGCAUGAGUAUUGUCAUCAAUGUAGAAGGACCUGUAUUCGAGUGCACUGAAGUAUAUCAUCCUCCUAUUUAUGGGUUGGGGUGGGGCUAUGGGUAGGGAUGAGCAAAACUCGAAUCCAUCCAAAUUUCGAGUUAACCGAAUUGAGUUAUUCGAAUUUCAAAUAAGUAAUUCAAGUUCGAAUCGAGUUGAACUGAGAUCUAGGCAAUAUUGUGUAAAAAAAAGAAACCGAUAUGAGCAGAACCUAUGAGAUUGUUCAAAAAAAUUUCUGAAUAUCAUAGUUUGUAACUUGAUUGUAAAAGUUGAACUACUUGAUUGAUUAAAUCGAUUAAUUUGAUGGUUCAUAUUGUGUUUAUAUAGAAAUUUUUCAUUAAUUUUUGUUUAUUUUCAUCAUUGAUAUUUUGGAAAUAUAAUUUUUCCUUUUCUUAUUUUUCUUUUGGCGUAAUAUAACAUUUGGUAUCUAAACUUGAUUUUUUUUCAAAUUUGAUACCUAACUUUUUUUUUGUCCAAUUUGGUAUCUAAACUUGAAUUUUUUUUUUUCUAAUUUGGCACCUAAGCUUUUUUUAGGUUUAUUUUGGUACUCAAACUUGUUAAAUGAUAUACAAAUUACCCUAGAACACUAACAAUGUUAAAUUUGCACUAUGCUAUAAAAAUAUCGUCAGUAUUAGAUGAAAUCCGUAUUUAAAAAACCAUGCAUUGAGCUACACUUGAUGAAUUAAUAUUAAAUAAGAAAUUUCAUGUCAUUUGCCACAUGUCAAUCAUAUAUUAUAAACUCUAGAAACAUGUUGAAUCGAUCAUUGUCCAAUUGUGAAUUAAUUCUUCUUACUGAAGCGGAAUUCGACACCUUCGUAGCACUCUCUUAUACAGCUUGAACACCCUCUCAAUAACAAUGACCAAACUUUCCAAGAUGCCCUACAUGUUUUUAUACUUUCUUUUCCUUUGAAUUGUCUUAAUCUUCCCAUUAAUUAGAGAUUCGCAUUUUCACCAAAAACAUCAAACUUUGUUCAAUCAUAAAUGCAUACAAAAAAGAAAAUAUUUGAACGGAAAAUAUUGAACCUAUCGAUAUCGUUAUCCUAUCGAUCUCAUACAUUCUAUAUAUUAAUGUAUAUUUAACUUUGAAUAUAUUUUUACAUAAAAUAUAUAGUUAGAAACUUUUAAUUUACAACAUUCUAAGUUUUUUUUUUUUGUGAAUUACGAGAGGAGAGUAAAGUCCUAACAGCAACAUGACAAGUACGACUUGAACCCAUGCGCCACGUGAAAAAGAAACCUCAAAAAGCAAAAGAUAUUAGAACCUCAAAAAUAGAUUACAACAUUAACAAAAUCAAAGACAAAAGAUAUUAGAACCUCAAAAAACACAUCCAACAUCAGAUGAACCAAACAACACUAUAAUCAAAACACCACAUCCCAAGUAAAUAACAUGUCUUACCACUCUAAAACCAAUCACCAAUUAGCAAUUAACCCUAAACAACAAAAGAAGGAACUGUUUCCGACAAAGACUAGGACGUUGAAUUGUCAAACAAGUUAAUAUUUUUUUUUAUUUUAAAAAAAAAAUAUUUUUCCACCUCUAAAUUGAUGUGAAACAAGAAGAAGACAUGGUUCAAGUCAAGCCAAAACAUUAAAGAAAAGUCCUAUUACUCACACUAGAUUGACUCAAAUGUAAAGGCCAAAUAUAUGGCUUAUAAUUUUUCUAUUACAAAAUUGAAUCGUGAACAGGAAGUGCAACUAGCCUUAUCCGGUUCGGUUUUUAAACAUAGUUUCUCACUACUUUGCCUAAUAAAUAAGCAGAUUUAGUGUCUCUUUUUUUUAUUCAUUCAAAGUCAUACAUAUUUCAUAGAAUUUCUUCAUUGGAAAGCUGCUUCUUAGAUACUUAUAUAUAAUCAGAUAUGAAGGUGAGCUUUUCUUUAUUUUUCUCCCAUAACUCAAUACUAUAUCUAUAUAUAUACAUAUAAUAUAAAAUUGUUGGAACUGAUAUAUAUAUAUAUGUUUUAUAUGUAAUUAAUAAUGCAGCAAAAGAUGGUUCUGAAGGUGCAAAUGAACUGUGAGAAAUGUCGAACACAGGCUUUGAGGAUUGCUGCUGCUUCACAAGGUUGGCAAUGACGUCUAAAUUCUGACUUCAUUUUAUGCUUAUAUAUAAAUGGGUUAAUCCCCCCAAAGUCCCCAAACUAUAUAUUAAAUUUUAAAUUAGUCCCUAAACUUCAACACGUUAUCGUUCCAAUCAAGUCUUUCAGUCAAUCUAGUAGGUAACUUUGGCGUUAAAUAUCAUCUUUGAUCAAAUUAUGUGGUUAAAACUGUUUAUUAAUGCAUGUUUUUUUUUUUUUUGAGAAAAAGGAAGCAUGUGAGCUGCAAUAUAACACUUAACGCCAAAGUUGAUGAAUAAGUUGAUAGAAGGACUUGAUUGGAACGAUAUUAUAAUUUGAAGAUUCAGUUGGGACAUUUUGAAGUUCAGGAUCAAUUAGAAUUGGUAAAAUGUAAAAGUAAGCCCUUAGUGUUUACAUCUUUAGUCAAUUUGACCCUUUUUUUUUUAGUUAAAUUUGGUCCUCAACCUUUUAAAAUAAGUUAAAUUCGACCAUCAACAGUUUCAAAAACAAUCAAAUUGUUGUUGUUGUUUUUAACUUAAAUACUAAGUAAAACGUUAAGUCUUUAAAUAUGGAAGCUCACAUGGCAAUUCACGUGUAUUUCAAGCUUUUUCUUUUAUGAUUUUUUUUGAAUUUUUAUAUUUUGAAUAUUUGUAUAAUUUUAAAAUUAUUUAUAGAAGUGGCAUAUAAGACAGAUAGUGUCAUGGCAACAUGAAGUAAAUGUAGACAGCCAUGUAAUUUGUCAUGCUAACAUCGUUAAAAAUAAAUAAUGUUAUAAUCAACAUUUUCAUUAAAAAAAAAGCGAUUGACUGUUUUUGAAAAGUUAAUGGCCAAUUUUAGCCAAAAAAAGAAGAAGGUUAAAUUGACAAAAGAUAUAAAUGUUGGAAGCUAAAUUUACCAUUAAAACUUGACCCAACUUCUAAUCUGGGGCAAUUCAAAGGCAGGUAGAGGCCUUUGCCCUUUGAAUAAAAUGGUGGGAUUUUGUUUUUAGUCCCUUUAUAAAUUUACUAAUUCAAAUUAUGCCAUUUUAGUGUACAAUUUUAUACUUCAACCCCAACAAACAUGGAAUUUUGGUUUUGAGGAUGAACAGGUGUGACUAGCAUGGCAAUACAAGGGCAAGAAAAAGAUGAACUAAUGGUAGCUGGAAACGGAGUGGACUCAGUUAAGUUGACUCGUUGUUUAAGAAAGAAGCUUCACCAUGCUACCAUAUUGAUCGUAGAAGAAAUAAAAGAGAAGAAGAAAGAAGAGAAGAAAGAUGAUGAAAAAUAUACCUCGCCUUAUUAUGUAUGUUAUCCCCAUAUCCCAUGCCUCCACAAAUUAUGGUUCAAGAUCCAUGCCAAUACCAAGCAUGUUCCAUCAUGUGAUGCAUCACUUAUCCAUCAAGUUUAUGUUACUCCAUUCCCGACCUACACAAGAUUAUACUCAGGGUGUAAAAUGGAUGAAAAAACCUCAAGAUAUAAUGAAAGGAGGAUGCAAAUAUGUAUUUGAUAUGAUUAUAAAUUAGAAUAAAGGUCGAUCGAGUCUUAGCUCUAGUAACACCGGUAUUAUUGUCAUAGAAGAAAGGCUUUAGGGACUUGCUUUUAUAUAUAGUACAAUUAAUAUUUUUGUAUGACAAGUACAAUUAAAUUGAUAAUAUCAACGAUUGGAUUAUUAAAAUAUUAAUCGUAAACUAAAGUAAUUGAAUUCUUGGUUGGUAUUUUACCGAUUUUGGUUGGUUCGGAAAAUUUUCAAUUACUGAAUUCUUGGUUCAACUUAUUCAACAAAUUAGUCCGGUCUAGUUUUUAAGACCAUAUUUUUUCCAUGCACAUUUAAACAUAGGUAAUGGGAUAUUUGACUUUUCAAAGAUUUUUAAACACAUAGAAAAAUCUCUUCUUUUUUUUUUUUUGCCGAAGCCCUCCCACCUUUCAGACGGAGGCUUGACCCAUUAUCAGGUCUAAUUAAAAGGUUGAAAAGUUGAAAAAUAAUAAUAAUAAUUUGAGUGGAAGAAGGAAGAAAAAUUAAAAAAAGAAUGAUAUUUUUCAAGGUAUAUUAGUUAUUUUACCAUUUUUUAAAUUUUAAAUUAGAAAAAUAAAUAAUAAAUAAGAUAUUUUGAUUGGAUUAAUAGUAUUUCUUAGAUAAAAGUUUCAAUGGUUAAAUCCUAGCCAUUGAUUAAAUGAUAAAAUGAAUAAAUAAAUAAAUAAACAACUAGAAGAGAGAAGAGAGAUCAUUCUUUUCUCUAUAAGGACUAAUUUGUAAAAUUUUAGAUUCUAAAGAUUGAGUAGCGAAAUCUGAAAAAUUGAAUUAGCUCUAAAUUAUAUGAUUAUGAAAGAAAAUAGUAAAGUUUGAACCUAUAGGGAUUAAAUUGUAAAGAUUUCAAAACAUGAGUUUAGAACUAAUUUAUAUGGUUUUAGAGUUUACAAUUCUGAAAGUAGAAUAUGAAAGUUUAAUGGUUCAAAAAUCAGGGACUAAUUUGUGAAAAAUUUGAUAAGAUUUUAACUGCAGGGAUUAAAUUAUAAAAUUUGGAAAUUUUGAAAAAAAGAAGAAAAAAGACUAUUUUGCAAAAUUGUACAAACUGGGACUUAAGACUAAACUGAAAAUAAAAAUAAGAAAAUAUGAUUUCCAGGGACUGAAUUGUAAAAUAGUGUAAAUUUGGGGCUACGGGGACUAAAUCAUAAAUCAUAAAUUCGCCUGAAAAUACUCUGAAAAUAGGAUUUAAGAUUCUCUAAUUAAAAUUUUAAUAAUAUAAAAUUUUAGAAAGAAAUUUAAUAUCAUAUGGAAUCCAAAUAAUGUCAGAAAAGUAAAUAAAAGUUAAGGAUUGAAAUUGAAAAUUUUAAUGUGAGAUUCAUUGUUCGUAUCUGUUAAUGAAUCGGAGUAAAAGAUGUUACAAAAACACUAUUGCAAGUUGCAUGAAUGAGAUGAAAAACAUACAAAGCCAAGGUAAAAAUACAAAAGAUCUUUGUGCUGUAGCAAUUCUGUUUGAUAAUUAAAGGUGUUUAUGGGUCGGUUCGGGCUGGGUCUAAGCAUGAUAUUAAUAUAUUUUAUGCUUAUUCAUGUUUGGUCCGGCCUGAAAUCUGAGACUAAAAUUUUACUAAAACCUGCUCAUAUUUGCAAAAGGCUAACUGAAGCCCAUUUUAAGCCUGGCCAUAUUGUUUUUGAAAUAUUUAUUUUAUUUAUUUAUUAUUUUUACCUAAACUCUUUCAAAAUUCGAACAAGUCUUCAAGUCUGGAUGGGUAACUUGACCUAUGAAUUGGUCCAUCAAUAAUAGCUUAAUAUUUAUUAUAAUAAAAUAUAAUAAAAUGUAUACAUUCACUCAUUGUGCAGAGCUUACAAGUAAAUUUCAUUGUCCAAAUGGAUUUGGGCCUUAUUUGGGCCAAACUUUUUUUCAAAAAAUAAUAAAACUAAAGGACAGUAAUAAAUAAAUAAAUAAAAUUAUAUAAUGUUAAUUCAGCCAUUUGAAAAAAAAUUAGUAUAAUGAUAAUUAAGAAAUAGUAACAUAAAGGGCUUUAAAAAAUUAAUGGUUUAUUUUACAUCAAUAAAAAUAUUAUCGAAGUUUCUAUACUAGAAAUCGGAUUAUAUUUUAUUUUUUUAUUCAAGAAAUGGAUAAAUUAUUCAUUGUAUGUUAUAUUAAAGAGUAAAUUGAUUUUUUUGUUAAAAAUUCUAUCCAUCUUUACUGUUAAAUACUGAUAUGGUUGAUGGAGCAACCAGACAGUAACACUUAGUGUGCCAAGUGUUUAGGGACAAGCCAAAAUUUUACAUUAAGGGAUCAUAGUUGAAUUAUAAAAUUUUAUCAUUAUACUAAGAAAUUUUCUAAAUUUUAAAGGGUCUAAAUAAAAAUUUUACCAUUUAGAGAGACCAAGGCCAUUGCUUUCGCCAUGGAAGGACAAAUUCAAGCAAAAUGGAUGAAAUUUUUGACGUGGAGAGACUAAUUUAAGCAGUCAGAUAAUAAUACGUCAUCACUUAAAAGUAGAAAUAAAUAAAAAUUUUAAUAAAUAAACUAAUUUACUCUUUAAUUUAAUGUAUAUAAUAUAAUUUAUAAAUUUAUAAAUAUAAUAUAAUAUAAUUUAAUAUAGAAGUAUCGGUCAUCCUCUUAGCUCUUACCUCUUACAUCGUAUGUGUUAGAAUCUGAUGCAAAGAUGCCCCAUGUGAUGGUAAUGGUUCCCUCGGGGUCCAAAGAGUCAUGCCCAUCUGCAAAAACAAGAAAAAGAUAUCUGACCCAUUAAAAAAUUGACACCCAAAACAUGAAAUAGACAUGGAAGCUAUGCAUGACACUAACAACAAUGGCAAGUUCAAAGCCAAAUGGUUCAAAUCCAUUACAUUUCUUCUUUUUCAUAUCAAUCUUUCAAUUAUAGGGAUUUUUUAAUAAUUUUAUUGUAAUUUUUGAUCAUAUCUGUUAUUUUUUACACAAUAUUUAGAAUUAUCCCAAGCUCCUCUCCAACCCAUAAAUAGGAGGAUAAUACGUUUCAGUGUACUCAAAUCCACGUCCUCUUACAUUGAUAACAAUACUCAUACCAAUCGAGCUAAAACUCAAUCGACAAUUAUAGGAUUCUUAAAUCUUAACCAAAAUCGCGAAAAAGAAACAAUGUAGUUUCUAUAUUUGGUUCAAAGAAAGAAUCUCAGCUAAUCCAACCCACUUAAAAAAGAUUAAACUAGUAAGCCCAAAGUUGUAAUUAAUUGCAUUAGGGUUUUCUUAUGAUAAACUAGUAAGUGUAUGUGUUAGUCAUUCACUUUAAAAAGUUACAAAAUAGAUAUUGAAGUUAUUGAAUUAUUCGAAAAUUUUUAUCUAAGUCAUUGCGCAGUUUUUUUUAAGUCCGGCUAGUGAGCUCCAAGUGACGAUUCGACGAUCAGUAUGAUGGAUUAGUUCCCAUUGACGAGUAGAAGAACAUACCUUAGAUCCAAAUUGAUAUAAUGAUCAAUGUCGAAGAUUAGAGAAAAAAGUUGUUUAGAUUUUAGUUCGCAGAUUCUUGAUGUUUAAAAUUGUUUCAUGAAGAAAAAAAAACUGAAUUGUAAAAGAGAAAUGAAAAAAAAAACUUUUAAUUGAUGCAGGCGAUAGAGAAGGCUGUACAACAGCAAAUUUAACAAUCAGUAACUUAAAUAAAAUUUUUUGAAUAAUUAAAUGACUAAAAUGUAAAUUUAUUAACAAUUUAGUGACAUUCGUAUAAUUUAACUUUUUUUUUCUUUUUCAAUAAGAGGAGGUGGUUGUGUUGUUGAAAUUUGAAUAUUGAAUUUAAUUUCCAUUGAUACUUUAAAUAAACUAGACUUUCUGUCACUCAACCAAUUAGUAUUUAACUAAUUGUUUAAAAAAUCAUUUACGAUUUAAUAAAGUUAAUUAUAUAAAAAAAAUUAUGGUUUUGUAAAUAAAAUCUUUUGUUUAAAAUUAGACUGUAAUUGAAGAAAUUUCUAGAAAUUUUUAAUACUGUAAAUAUUAACUCUGUUACAAUUUAAACUUAUUUGAUUCUUUUUUAUAAUAUAGAGACUAAAUUGAUCUAUUUAAUAAUAGAACUACUUUGACCCAAUUCUUAUAAUGCAGGAACAUCAGAUUCAAACCAAUCGGUUCAGGUAAACUGCCAUCAUUCUAAGUAUUACAAAACUUUCUAAAUCUUUAUGUAGAAUCCAAAGAAUUACAUCUGGUAGUUCUAGGAAAAUACAAAUACCCAAUUUAAAGUUAAAAGUCAUAAUCAUCAUUCGAUCCGCUAAUCGAUUCCCUUCACGAAAUAUAUACUUGAACUCAAUUUUCCAAUCAUAACUUUAACAUACUUAAUGUUCCACUUCUAACAUCUUAAGACCCUUGUCUUCAACGUUUUUGGUAAGGAAAAAUGUGACCACCAAAGAAGAUAGAUGAAAAGUAUUGCAUGAUUCAUUUGAUGGAUUAUGACAUGAAUUUAGCUAUAAAAAAAAGCACUUUUUGUCAACAAGAAAAACACACUAAUACGUCAUUAAGCUAAAAUUAAGCAUCCAAGUGUCACAGUUGACCAUCUAAUUUAGAACACACCCACCCUUCCUAACUUUGAAACACAAGUUGAAGAUAAAGCAAAAUUAUGAAACCCCAUACCCCAUACCCAUUUGUCUUUUCUUUGUGUGUGUGUGUCUUGUGUUUUUUUUUUUUCUAAAUGUAAUGAAAUGUCAUUUUCACUUACUAUUGGCUUGCUGUUAGGUGAUGAUAAUAUAUGAUCCAAAGAGUAUGGGUUUUUCUUUUCCUUUUUUGUCCUUUUUUUAAAAAUUAUAAUUUUCUAGGAGUUUUUAUUUUAGGAUAAAUUAUUAAAAUAGUCACUUUUAUUUACCUCAGGUUACAUUUUAGUUACUUAUGUUUCAAAUGUUAUGUUUUAGUCACUUACGUUAUUGCAUUGUAACAUUUCAGUCACUGAGCCGUUAAUUGUCAUUAACAGUGUAACGUGACGUGGCACGUUAAAUCAUUAUUUCAAACAAAAAUUUUAGGUUAAUUUGUACAAUCAGUCCCCUUAUUUUUUUUCGUUUUGAGCAAUUUUAUUUUUUUUCUUUUGUGUUUUUUGAACUUUUCUUUUUCCUUUUCCUUUCUCUUCUGCUUCUCCCUCUGUUUUCCUCCCUUCUCCAUUUAUUUUAACAUGGUUUUUCUAUAUUUUCCAUUUGUUAAAACUAGUCCCUAUACUUUUAUUUUUUUUGAACAAUUUAAUUUUUUUUGAGUGAGGUGAGCUUGUGGGCUAGUUUUAACAAAUAGAAAACAUAAAAAACUAUGUUAAACGAAAUAAAUAAAGGAGGAAAAAAAAGGGAGAAACAGAAGAGAAUGGAAAAAAGUUAAAAAAAUAUAAAAGAAAAAUAAUUAAAUGGCUCACAAAAUGAAAAAAUAUAGGGACCAAUUCAAGAACUUAACCUAAAAUUUUCGUUUGAAAUGAUGAUUUAACGUGCCACGUCAGCUUACUAUUACACCGUUAACAGCGAUUAACGGCUCAGUAACUAAAAUGUUACAACAUAAUAACAUAAGUGACUAAAACGUUACGUUUCAAACUUAAGUGACUAAAAUGUAACUUGAGGCAAACAAAAGUGACUAUUUAGGUAGUUUACCCCUUUAUGUUAUCAUGUAAAGCUUAUUUCAAUCUCUCUAUUAAAAGUUGCUUUAAAUUAGCUUUUGCACAUUAAAAUUUUAUUCAAAUCAUGACACCGUUACAAUUUUACGUCAAACUAUUGAUAAUUUGGACAAAAAAAUCAAACCCAACUGAUUUACCCAUGACCCAACCCGAGCCAUAAAAAAACAUAAAUACAUGGAUUCUUUUCGGGAUGGUUGGGUUAAGUUAUAAGUAAAUCAGUUGGGUAUGACAUAUUUUGUCAAAAUUAUCAGUAACUUUACAGUAAUUAUAAUGGUGUCAUGAUUUGAAUGAAAUUUUAAUGUACAAGGUCUAAUUUGAAGAUUUUUUAGUAGGAUUAAAAUGAAAUUUACAUAAUAGUAUAGGACCUCGUAGUAGAAUUUGACCUGUAAAAAAUAGAUAUUUAGGGAAUUAUGAGUUUAAUAUAUGGAAAAUUAUAAGCUUUAAGACAAAAGCUUAGGUAGUACCAAUUAAUGCACUAAAGCAUGCUUGGCCAUAUUUAAGCAAUACAAGUGUGUGCACAUAUAUAUCAACCAAUCUUCAUCAUUGAAACUUUGAUGACUUUUCUUUUUCUUUUGUUAAUUUUAGUACUUCGGAAUUUUACCUAAUUAGUGCCCCCACUAUAUCUGCUAGUCAAAGCAAUGUUUUGAAGAUGUUAAUUGUUGUUAUCUUUGCCAAAAGUUGUGGUUCUAGUCUUUGUACUUUAAUUUGAUUAGUUUUAAUCUUUAUACAUUUCGAAUCGGUCAAUAUUCUCCAAUUACUAGUCUUGUACGAUAUGCAUAGUCGUAGAUUUAGUCCAUAUUCUCCAAUUGGAUCAUUAUAAGUCCCUGUACUUUUUCGAAUUUUGAGAUUUCAGCCUUGACGCAAAUGACAUGCGUUAAUCCAUUAACCGCAUUUUUAGUGAGUAAUAUGUGGAAAUAGCAAGCUGACAUAGCAUCACACAUAUAAUAAUACAUUUUUCGUAUCGUAUUUUGGAAAUAGUAUAGCUUAACUUGAUGAAUUUAACAGUUAUUAUUUGGUGAUGACUGAAAUUUUAAAACAAAAAGUAAAAAAAAACUAAAAUUAAUCAAAUUAAAGUAUAAAAAUUAAAUCUUCAACCUUCACAAAAUACGAAGAUUAAUAGUAAAAUUUAAUUAAAAAUCAUGAUAAUGAAAGUGAAAUUGAAACAUCCUAGUGCACACCUAGUGCCAUCAUCAAACUUGAAACACAAUAUAUAUAUAUAUUAUAGAUAGGAUAGAGGAAAAGUGUAUGGGUGUGAUCAUUUGAGAUUUAUUUGUCAAGAUUUCUUGUAAGAUCGGGUAUAUACACAAUGAUUGCUAAGAAAUAAAAUUGAAAUUCAAAUAAAAUUGAAAUUCGAUUUUUUUUAUAAUUUUAUUAUGUUACACAAUAUUUAGAAUUACAUAUAGUCCCUCCUCAAUUCAUAAAUAGGAGGAUAAUACGCUUUAAUAAACUCGAAUUCAGGUCCUCUUGUAUUGACAACAAUAUUCAGAAAUAUGAAAUUUAGUUAUGGUAUUAGAAUUUCAACACUUGUAAGAUAAGAUAUGGGAAAAGGGGAAAAGAAAAGAAAAAGGUCCUCCCAUCCUUUUUUGUCUAAUUCUCCCCAUUGGUCCCUAUACUUUAGCCAAAUUCAAAUUUUGUCGUUGCACUUUAAUUGUUAGACAUUGAAUCCUUGUAUUAUUUCGAUUUGAAAAUCAUGUUGCAAUUUUUAAUGGUGAAUGUACCUAGCAGGUCCUAUUAUUUCUAGCAUUAAAUGGAUUGAUUUAACAUUUACUAUUUUAAAAAUGACAUGAAAAGUAUUUUCUUCAUUUGCAGUUUAACCCCCAACAGAAUAUUUUGAAAGCUUUUUAUGGUUCUAUAAAUGAAAUAUUUUGCUGGGAGUUGAGUUGCAAAUAAAAAAAUUAAUAUUUUAAUUUUAUUUGAUUUCUUUUACUAAUAAAGGGACUAAAUUGAUCAAUCCCCUAUAAUUGAGGGACUUCGCAGGGACCUUCACAAAUUUUUAAUGGUGUCAAUUUAUCCUCUCAAAGAAACUGAAAUGUCAAGGUGAAAUAUGACGUUAUGAUGAGUUGUAUUAAUUUUUCCAUGUGGCGUUGAAUGAUAGAUCCAUUUGUCCACUUACGACAUUUCAUUAAUUAAUAUUAAUUAAUAAAAAAUUACACAAUUUGAACCUCAUGCGUUGGCCUGAUAGUUAAAGUGUUCACGCGCCCCUGUUAGGGUUUUACCCUUCUCCUGUAAUUUACCAAAAAAAUUUAUACAAUUAAUUAUUUUCCUCAUAUUUCAAAUUUUAAUAUUUAUAAAUUAAAGUAUAAGGACUAAAUUUUAAAUUUAGUUAAAUUAGAAGAACCAAUAACACAAAUAAGAUACACAUUUUUUUUCUAGUCUCUCCAAUCAAAAAUGAAAUAUUGUGAAUUACACCAACACAAACAUUGAUUUAAGUGUAAACAAAGGAAUCAAAUAUUUUCAAUUAAAUAAUUUAGUCCCUUAAUAUAUAGUUUAAUCAAUUUAGUCCCUCCAUUGCUUAAUCUUUAACAAAAGUUGACAUUUCAUCUACGCUUUAAAAAAAAUUACUUUACUUGUCAUCCCCCUCCACCUUAUUUUGGAUUUAAUCCAUUAAAAUUGUAAAGAAAUUUGUAGCAUUCAAAAUUGUUUCAUGAAAAAGAAUUAAACUGUAGAAGAAAAGAGGAAUGAAAGCUUUCGAUUGAAGCAUGCGUUGUGAAUGAAGAAGACCAUACAGUAACGAUUUUAACAACAUAGUAACUUAAAUGAAAGCUUUCGAAUAAUUUAAUAAUUAUUUAAUAUUUUUUCGAAAUUAAAUGACCAAAAUAAAAAUUUACUAAUAAUUCAGUGACUUCGUACGUAAAUUACUUGGGGUUACAUGAUAUACUUGACAAAAUUGAGGUGUUUGGGGGGAAAUUUAUUAACAACAAAACAAAAAGGAAGAGGAAACACGAAGAUCGAUGAAUGGAAGCUAAAUUGGGUGCACGCAAACCAUGAAUGGCUUAUCAUAAAAAAUGAGUUUUUAAAACUUCAAAGGGACAUGGAAUGAGUUCAAUCUUACACACAAAUCAAACUUGGUAUUGCCAUUUACACCAAGUAUUAGAUUCUUUGGUUAUAUAUCAAAUUCAGGGUCAAAACUGAAAAUUUUUUAGGAGUCGAAACUAAAUUGUAAUUUUUAUGAUAGUAAAAAUGUAAUAUCACCAUUUUAAUAGUCUCUAUCUCUAUAAUUUUUAAAGGAUUAAAUCAAUUUUUUAUCAUUUUUAGGGAGGUCAAAGUGUAAUUUUAUCUUUACUAAUUUAAAAUUUUAAAAAUUUCAAAGGGCCUAAAUGGAAAAUUUUCUAUUUUAGGGGGGUCGAGGCCCCUGCCAGCCCCCCUGGUUCAUAUUCGUUCAUAAAACUUUGAUCUUGAUUCAAUUGUACAUAUUUAAAAAAAAAGAAUGCAUAUAUUUAUUUUCAAAUUAGAUUAAUAUAAUUGUUUGUGUAUGCGAUAUAUCAACGUAAAAUGAUACUAAUUUGAUUACGUUGUUAGUGAUUUAUAAAAAUUGAAUCAAAUCAAAAUUGUGUAUAUAAAAUUGUACAAAAUCAAAGUUUUCGAUUCAUUUGAUGGAAGCAGAUCGAUUAAUUUUGACUCAAAUUUCUCGAUUCAAUUAAUUCAAAUCUAAAUACAAUUCAAUCUAAAAAGCUAAUAACUCGAACCUACUUAAAUCAAGCACAAAACAAUCCAAAAUUUAAAAUAAUCAAAAUCGAAUCAAAUGAUACGAACCCAAACUUAAUCAAAAUGACCCAAAUAAAAAUGACUUUAAAUUAUUCAAAACACGAAUUAAAUUGACUCGAUCCAAAACCAAUCCGGGAAUAAGAAACUUUGCUUCAAAGCUCCAAUCCAAAAUUACCCCCAAAGCUACCCCUAAAUGAAAAAAUUGAACUACUUAAUAAGUAAACACCCCUCAUAAUCAGAAACGAUCCAAAGGCUUUUCCUCAUUUUUAGUUCAACGUUUCACCAAUUCUUCCUCGUUAUCUCUUUGUCUCUCUCUCUCUCUCUGGCAUAAACCAAGACCAACAUCCCUGGCUCUUUUCAGACAAAACAACAGUGUGCUUUAGACUGAAGGCAAAACUGGGUUGGUGUUGUGUUCUUUUGGGGGGGUUGGAUUGAAGUAUUUAUGUGGAGAGAGAGUAACAGUAAACCUGGGAAAGUCAGGGGAAUAUUUGUUCGAAGGGAUAUUGGAUUGUAUCCAUGAAAUUACAGCGGCGUUGGCUAUGUCCAGGAUGAGCGAUUCUGCUUAUAGAGUUGAAACCACCGCUCGUCUUGCUCAAUGGCGGAUCGACAACCUUGCUUCUUGUACUUACCGCAAAUCCGAUCCUUUCAAGAUCGGUAAAUGGAACUGGUCUGUUUCUUUUCUCCUUCUUUGCAUGCAUUCAGCUCUGAUUCCUUGAAGAUGAUUUGAUGUUAUUACAAGUUUUAAUUGGCUUAUGUCCUGUUAUGAUGACAAACUAGUUUUGGUUUUUUUGGAUUCAACACCAUGCAUUGAGACAACCCUUUAGGCUAGUUUUUUUUUUUUUUUUUGUUAAAGGGACUAAAACUAAAUUAAACCAAUUUGUCGCCCUGUUUUAAUACCCUGCCAAAGUCCUGGGUGCACAAAUCUGAUGUUAUUACAAAGCUUGUAAUGAAGACAAAACAACUUUUGUUUAUAAGGUUUUUUUUCUUAAAUUUGAAGGCAUUUAUCAGUGGAGAAAAACAGGGUAUUAUCUGUUAAAUUAUACCCAGAGAUUUCAAGAGAGAAUCCUCCAAUUGCUUCCUUCAUUAUUCGAGUUGUUAGCUCAGUGGGUGAUCGAAAGGCUUUGACUCAUCCAGGUACCCCAAUUUCUUUAAACAUUAUAAUUCAUCUUCUUUUUUUUUCAAUUUGAUCCUUUAUGGUUUAUAUUUGUUUUCUAAAUGGAUACAAAUUUAUGUGAUUCAUGCUGAAUUGAGUUCCUGUCUUAUAAGUUAAGACAAUAAUAUGUGCUCUCAAAGUAAUUUGAGCAUUGUUUUUGUGAUGCUCAAGAUUGAGGUUAUUCUUUUCUUUUUGGGUAAAUUUCAGUAGAGGUCAUCCAAUUAUGAAAUGUUACAAAAUGAUCUCUUCGUUUUUUUUUUUUAUCACCAGCUGGCUAACUAAAAAUGGGAACACCCAAAAAAAACUGAAUAAGUGACCAUUAUGUAACUUUUUAUAGUUGUGUAAUCGGAAAAUAAAUUUACUAAUAGUUGGGUGACCAUUUUAUAAAUUUUCAUAAUUGGACGACAAUAUAUAUAUAGUUAGGUGACUACCAAUGUAGUUUACCCAUUCUUUUUCUAUGUUCUUUUUGGGAAAAAUUUUGUUGUCUAUCCCUGUAUUUAAAUGAAAUUUCAGAUUUCAGUCCAAAUAAAUGUUAAAAUCACAUAAAUCUUGUGACUUUUUUUCUUCUGUCGAAAUAAAAAGUCAAGAAUUUAAACCCAAACCUAAAAUUACUCAAACUUGAAACUUAUCUAGAUCUGUUCAUGGAUUGAGUCGGGUCAAGCCAGAUCAUGUCAAAGUUUUAGGCUUGUUUUCUAGGUUUGAGCCUGGUUCGGCCCAAAGAAUGGGCUUAAACUUUUUAUAUUAUUAUUUUUAUUAAAUUAAUUGUUUCUUAGAGUUAUAUAAUAUCCAAACGAUAACAAUAAAAUAGUAGUAACAUAUAGUGAAAUGAUAACAAAAUAAUGAAAAAAUAACAAGAAAAUAACAGUUUUUUUUGUCUUUUUGCUAAUUCGGGCCAGGCCUUGGUUAAAAAAGUCUUACCCGAGUUUCAGCUUGUUUUUUAAACGAGCCUUAUUUUUUUUUUAAUUAAGCCUUUCUUCAAGCCUAUUUUUUUCCAAACCCUCCCACUUUUCGGACGGCCUUUCAGGCCGGCCCAGAACAGAUCUAAACUUGCCAAAUUAUGAAAAUUUAAUCAUGCUCAAGAUUGAAAAAGAAGAAGAAGAAAAUUUCACAAUUUUAUUGCAUCUGUUUGCAGAAAUAAUAGACAAACAGCUGAAGAACAACGACGAUUUUGUGUGGCCUAUUGAGGUUCCUUUGACAGGGAAAUUCAUUAUUGACGUUGAAUUUCUUGAUCUAAAGACUGCAUCUCCAAACGUAAGUACACAUAUUCGGAUAUGGAUACAAGUAGACUUUGAAAAAUAAAAUCCAAAUUUACUUAUAUCUGAUAAAAGUAUCAUGGAGGCCUCUGUAGUAGGAUUUAAAUCGUAUUUUAUUUUUUUUACUUAAAAAAAAGAGCAAAUUCAUCUUUAUACGUAUCAAAGAGCAAAUCAAUCUUUUCUGUUAAAAAUUUUAUCCAUUCUACAGCUAAAAACUAACGUAGUUGAUGAAAUAAUGUUAAUACAAGGACUAAUUUUCUCAGUUUUUGAAUAGUGGAGUAAAAUGUAAUUUGAUUUUUAAUACAAGGGCCUCCGUGAUACUUUUACCACUUAUUUCCCUAACAUGGAUGUACUAACAAUUAAUGUUUUGUAGGGUGGGGAACCUUCCUCUAUUUGGGCUGAAGGUUUCACAACAAAACAAUCAAACGAAACAGCAUUAGCAUGCCUUGGUAGAAUGUUAACCGAAGAGAUCAACACCGACAUCAUCAUCAACGUUUCCGACGGAAGUAUCGGAGCUCACCGAGCCGUCUUAGCUUCGAGAUCACCCGUGUUCCACAGCAUGUUCUCACAUAACCUUCAAGAGAAAGAACUUUCAACCAUAAACAUAUCCGACAUGUCGAUCGAAGUUUGCCAAGCUUUCUUACGAUAUAUUUACGGGAACAUCAAACACGAAGAAUUCCUAACUCACCGGUUAGCACUUCUUCGAGCGGCCGAUAAAUACGAUAUCUUGGACUUGAAAGAAGCAUGCCACGAGAGCUUAACCGAAGAUAUCGAUGCGAAAAACGUGCUCGAGAGGCUCCAAAAUGCAUAUUUAUACCAAUUGCAAAAGCUGAAAAUGAACUGCAUGCGGUAUUUGGUGAAGUUUGGUAAAAUAUAUGAUAUUCGAGAUGAUUUUCAUGCAUUCUUGCAAUGUGCUGAUAGGGAGCUUAUAGCUGAUAUAUUUCAUGAAGUAUUAAAUACAUGGAAAGGGUUUUAAGAUCCAAAUCCGGAUUAGGGUUGAUAAUUGAUGCACCGAUAUUGUAUAAUUUUAUGUGUUAUUAGUAAACCAGAUGACGACACCUAUUGAAAUCUUUUGAAAUCUUUAUAAUUUAAGAGAAAAAAAAAAGCAUUAUUGAUGUUUUCUCGAUGAUGAUUGGGUUUGGAUUGGGUUUAGAGAUUCAGGGUUCUUGCUAGAUAAAUGUGAGAUGGGACAUGAAGAGAUAUGGUGACAGUGAGUCGACCUGUCUCAAACCCUGUUGUGGAGGAAAUUUUGAAGUCACUUGACCAUUCCAAAUCGGGGUGAUUUUACUAGCUUGGACACAAAACAUGAUAAACCAAAUUCAAUCAAGACAAACCUGAGGAAGCUCCAGUCCACAUUAUCAUAAGCAUUUUGCAGAUCAAUCUUCAGAAUCAUCGCUCCUUGAACUCCUCUCAUAUUCAUUAUCGCAUGUCCCACUUCCUGUGUCGACCAAAAUAUUAUCAGUUGUGCUCCUUCCAGCAAGAAAACUGUUUUGGAAAGGUCCGAUGAGACGUUGUGAUACUGGACGCAGACGAUUGACAAUUGUGUUAGAUAAAACUUUAUAGGAAGUGUUGAAGAGGCCUAUAGGCCGGAACAAAGGGAUUCUAUCUGCUGCUGCUACUUAAGGAAUGAAAAGCAAAAGUACCAGUAUUCCAUGCCCCCUUGACAAAUUCAAAUAGCGAAUCCCAAUGCUUUUGAUAGAAGACUGGUUGAAUACCAUCUGGACCCGGAGCUUUCAGUCCUUUCAUGGAAAAAAGGCUAAUCACAAGGUAACGGAGAGACCUGCUUCUUAGCAAAGAGUUUAUCAAAGUAAUUUACCACAUGUUCCAUCAUACUUCUUUGAUUAGAUGCCCAAGAAUCAUCAAUGAAUAAACCCAACACCUUAUUUCGAGUUCGUCACAUCAACAUUGUAAGGUGAAAUCAUCGAGUGUUCCGUUUACCCUUAGAAAUCCAGUCUAAACGAGAUUUCUGAAGCCACAAUAAUUCUUCUUGCUUCUAACUGUUGCAAAUAAGAAGAAAACAUAUAACGAGGUGAAUUUUGAAUACCCUGCAACCUUUUGAUCAAUGACCAUUUCCUCACAAAUAUAUUGCCAAAAGAGGACUUCCACUCCUUAACAGCCCUGGUGGCUACUUCAAUGGCCUGUGUAAUAUUGCUCGAGUUCACCAUCCACUCCGUGAAGAUUUCCUCAAAAGUCCAUACAAGUAAGCCAGGCAGCUUCGAAUCUAAAAGCCCGCAAGUCUCUUGGAAGGACACAACGAACCCCAAAGUAUUAAGAAGAAUUGGAUGGUGAUCAGAAUAUAACAGUGGCAUAAUUCAAAGCUUCAAGAUUGAACAAAACUCUGUCCAACCUUUCUUGUAAAGUAAUCCUCCCAUGCUGACGACGAACCCAUGUGAAUUUAGAUCCUGAGCAACUGAUAUCCAUAAGAUGGUCAACCCAACCACUACGUUCUUCUAAAGAAGCAAAGUCAUUAAAAUCACCGGCCACCGUCCAAGGCAUUCUAAGAUUCGAACCCCAAUCAACAAGAUCCCUCCAGAACCGAUUUUUGGCUUCUGGGUUCGGUUGUACAUACACAAAAGAAGCGUGCCCUUCUUUUACAAAGCAAUUAAUGGCUUGAUCAGUAAAAUUUCUGAGAUCGAUAUCAAAGGAAAAUCAACCCACCUCGGAAUCCCUGGGCUUGAACUUCAAAACUAGCAUUCAAGGAGAGUUUUCUUCUCUAAGGUCUUACCCAUACCCCACAGCAGCUUUAGUUUCCAGCACACACAAAACAUCCGGAAUUUCUCGACGAAUUCAAUCAAUACAAUUCUUCAUGAAUAACACAUUUCCCACUCCCCUACAAUUCCAAAUUAUUGCCUUCAUUAUUGGGAGAAUUUAUUACCUGAUCAACAGGCAUGGGAUUCAUUACUCCAACUAGAGCAGCAUGUAAACUAGACUCACUGGCAAUCGUCUUAUCUUCUUCAUCCGGUGGAUCCUACAGAUGUGCUACCCAACGCUGAUCAGUCAUAAUAGCAUCAUCGGCCUCAGCUUCCAGAAUUCGUAUCCAUUGCAAUUCUUUUCUCACUAUCAACCUGUCGAUUUUGAAUCAUACUAUCUAAACCAGAUGACGGGUAGGCCACUGUUUUACCUUUAUCUUUCAAACAGGGCUUGACCCAGAUACACUACUACACCCAACAGAGUUUUGUGGAGCAAUGAAGGCCGAUUCUCCAAGUUCAGCUGAGGCCUUCGUUCUCUCCCUCCAAAAGGCCUAACACUUAGCCCAUUAUUUUCCGGUAGGGCGGAAUGCACCAGUACGGUCGGUACCGGUCGAAACUUGCAUUGAAACACUAAUAUUUGUUGUUCCGUAGUGAAUUCCGUUCUAGCACCACCCGUGCCGGUCGGAAUGCUCCGUUCUGAUAGCGAAGCUAAACAACAAACUCUAAAUUUUGUUCCGAUGCAAAUUUCGAUCGGUAUGGGCCAUACUACUAAGGGUGUGCAAAAUUCGGGUAAAACCGAAAAACUUUUUUUUCGGUCGGAGGUCGGUUAAUUAUUUUUUAAUUUUUCGGUUAACGGUUAAUUCGGUUCGAAACCGGUCGGUUAACCGAAUUUUUUCGGUUUAACCGAAAAAAUUAAUAAAUAAAAUUAUAAUAUAUAAAUAGGCUUACUAUUCACCGAAACCCAAUCCAAACACAAGUAUUCAACCCAACCCAAUUACCCAACCCAACCCAAUCAUAAAAAUUACAAAUAAUUUAAUAAAUAAAAAUAAAAUUCUAAAACUAAAGUCUAAAAGUCUAAAAAUAAUUUAAUUAUGUAGUGAUUCAAUUUGGUUAAUUCGGUUAAUUCGGGUAAUCCGGUUAAUUCGGUUAAUUCGGGUAAUCCGGUUAAUUCGGUUAAUUCAGGUAAUUCGGUUAAUUCGGUUAAUUUUUAACCAAAAAUAAAAAAUAUAUAAUUUUCGGUUAAUUCGGUUAACCGACCGAAUUAACCGAAAAAUUUCGGUUCGGUUAAUUUUUUUGAAAAAAUUUCGGUUCGGUUAACAGUUAAAAAUUUUGAAAGGUCGGUUAAUUCGGUUAAUGUUAUUUCGGGUCGGUUAACCGAAUGAACACCCCUACAACUAGGGGUAUUAUCAUAUAUAGUUUAUUCUUUCAAUAAUCUUAUAAUAGAAUUAAUAUGGUGAAUUAAUAUCAGAUUGAGGCUCAGGUUGUUCUUGAAGGUCUUCAACUAGCUUGGGAGAAAAGUUUCAAGGAAGUGGAGCUUGAAAGUGAUGAUGUGAUGCUGAUAAAAUCUUUACAGAGCGGCUUGGCAACAGUAAGCAAUGUCGAGGAAGUAAGGAUGAUUCACAGAUAUUGCUCUAAAAACUGGCAGAAAAAUUUCAGGCAUAUUCAGAGAGGUAAUAACAAAGUUGCUGACUGUCUUGCAAAGGCAGUUGAAGGCGAUCUGGAUCGAUUGAUGGUCUUGGAGGAACUACCGAUUUCUGUUCCGGAAUUCCUGGAGGAAGGCAUUAAUCUUUCUGUCUUGGCAGUGAAUUGAUCUACGUAGUCUGUUGUCUCCUUAGGCUUGUCCUAAGUUUACUUCACCAAAAAAAAAAGUAAAAAUUAUGUUAACUAUGAAGUUUAUGAAUCUAACAAGUUCAAUUGAUCGGUAUGAGUCAUCAAAUUAAAUUAGUUAAUUCAAGUAAUCAAUUUAUAAAUUUACGAUAUUUCAAAUUCAUAGUAGAAUAUUUAAUUAGGGAACAAGAUAGUUUAUUGCAUUGAUAUUUUUAAUUUAACGAUUAUUCUCAGUUAAUAAAAUAUGAUUAAUAGGUUUUUCACGUGAAAUUUAAACAUUUUAUUGAAAUAAUAUAUUAAUUAAGACUAUUUUUAUUCAAUACAUUAUAAUUAAGUUUAAAAAUAAAGGCUAUUUUGUUAAAUAAAGUUAAAAAAAUCCAACCCCCCCCCCAAAAAAGGAUCAAAUUGAACUAAAUUAUUAAGAACAAUUCAAAAAUAUUCAAAACUCAAUCCUAAUUUUCAAAUAAAUUUGUUGGAAAGCUUUAAACAAGUUUUUAUGCCCACUCUAAUUAAAAUUUAAUGACUUUUUGACUUUUACUACCCUAAUUAAAAAUUAAUUAAUUUUCACCUAAACAUCAUAUUAACCUAAUCAGUUGCAAUUUCAUCACUAUCUUAAGCUACUUGCACUAAAUAGGUAGGACCAUAUUGUAUAUAUUUUUAAACAAUUUCAUGAUAUAUUCUCAUUAUAUCUGCUCUUUUUAACACAAUAUUUAAAAUUACUCAUAAAUACGAUGAUAAUAGGCUCUAGCGCACUCGACCCCACAUUCUCAUGUAUUGACAAUAAUGCUCAUGCCAGUCGAAUUAAGACUCAAUCGACUCGUAUGAUAUAUUAUUACUACUACAUAUUUUUUUUCAUAUAAGUAAAUUAUUAAUAAUGAUAAUAAUAAUCUAAUUAUCAUAAUAGCUAACUUUAAUUAUUGCUGUACUAGUCUAGUAGUAGUGGGAUUUAACCUCAUCACUUAUUUCUCAAUAUAUGUUAUCUAAAUCCUCACUAUACAAUAAAUAAUAAACCCCAAAAUUUAUAAUUAAAUAAAAAACUAUUAUAUUAUAUUAUAACAUUAUUGGGAGAGAUAGUUACGAACUUCAAACAUGAACCGUAUUAUACAAAUAAGAAAAAGAUUCAAGCUUUUACAUGUAACUUUAUUUUAUUUCAAUAAUGUAAAACUUUUUAGAAAUAUAAAAAUAAUGUUGCAACACUUUUUAGCUUUUCUACCUUUAUUUAUAGCCCCAACCCCAACAAAAUAAACCUUUUACAAUAUUUAUUUAUUUAAGAAAUUUUAUUAAUAAGAAAAAAAAGUAGUACUAAAUUUUUAGGACUCUUUCAAGUUUUGAUUUCAUCCAAUCAAAUAAUAAUUGACCAAAUUUGCAAAUAUUUAUGGCAUUUUCAAACAGUUUUAUUUAUAUUAUCCUCAUAAAACUAUGUAAAUUAAAAAAAAAGUUAAUUUAUUUUGUUGUUAUGUAAUUUUAUCGAUUAAGUUGAUUCGUAACAUAAACUCUUAAAAUAUAUUUAUAAUAAAGAUCGUUUCACAUACCAUAUAUGAUUUGCAGAGAGUAUUAAAAGUUGAGGUCUCAAAUUUUAAAGGCUCGAAUUUGUAAUUACAAUCAAGGUUUUUAGCGGGAGUAUAAUUUCAUUUUCGAAGAGUCUGAACAAUUAUCAUUUUCAGAGGGUUAGAGUGUAACUUUACCAUAUAUUAAUUUUUAUAUAUAUAUAAGAGAACUGAAUUGAAAAUUUUCAUUUUGUGAGUUUGUUUGUCAUUGGAUUCGGCUCUGACGAAGAUGUGUUCAGUUUGUGCAUAUCUCUUGAAUGGAUACAAUUUUGUUCGAAUUACAUAACUAAUUUGAAUUUUUUUUCUUUAAAAUAAAGAAAUUAGUUUCUAAUUUCCAAUUAAAUUUGCUGGAUUGGGUCCAUUAAAUAUGAGAUAAUCACCCAAAUCAAAACAAAUAAAUAUAAUAUAAUCUCAAAAGAUAACUUUUAAAAAAAAAAAAUCUUAGCUCUUAAAAUCAAAAUCCAUUCCUAAAAAGUUGCCCUUGCAAAAUGGGAGAGAAAUCCAUUGCUAUCCGUUAUCAAAGGGAAGAAACAUUUUUGUUUCCAAAAACAAAGCUUCAAAAAACAGAGUUUAAAAACAGGGGAAAAAGCAGAGUCCCUUUACAACGACACCACCACCACCUUCUUCUUCUUCUUCUUCUUCUUCUCCUCCUUCACUUCACAAAACACAGAGAGUAGAAGCCAUUAAAGGACCAAAUCAAUGAAGCUUUCAAUUCUUUCUCCUUUACUUUUAUCAGUCUUUCUUUUCUCUCUUUUGCAGUCAUCAACUUUUGCUGUUAGAAAGGCAAGCAGAGCUUAAAAAAUUUCAUUCAAUUUUCACUUUGAUUUUUUAGUUUCUUAGUACUAAACACAAUUCUGGGUUUUUCUUGUUUUUGUCAAAGUUUCAAUCUUUAUAUGUUCAAAAUGUACCUAUUUGUUUCUGUUUGUGCAGUCUUAUAUAGUGUAUUUAGGAGGACACAAUCAUGGUUUAAAUCCCACAUCGGCUGAACUUCAUCGAGUAAAAAAUUCUCAUUAUGAAUUACUGGGUUCAUUAGUUGGAAGGUAUGCAAUUUCAUAUAAUUACAUUUAAAAAAAUCCUCAUUUCAUUUUCCCUUUUAGAUUUUAAUCCAUUUGUUUUUGUAUUUACUUUCCCCCACAGCCCUGAAACAGCAAAAGAGAAAAUUUUUUACUCAUACACUCGAAACAUCAAUGGUUUUGCUGCAAUCCUUGAUGAAGAUGAAGCAUCACAGGUUUCAAGUAAGAAAAUUUCAAUUAUUUUUCUAUUAUAUUUCAUUGAAUUUUUUUUUGGGCAUAAUGUUUGAAUGUUCAUCAUUGAUGAAUGUAGAGCAUCCAAAUGUGGUUUCGGUUUUUUUAAACAAAGGAAGAAAGCUUCAUACAACACGAUCAUGGGAUUUUCUCAGGUUAGAGAGAAAUGGUGUUAUACCUUCGGAUUCCCUUUGGAAGAAAGCAAAAUUUGGUGAAGACACCAUUAUUGGAAACCUUGAUACUGGUAAAGUUUCAAUCUUUUUCCUUUUCUUCAAUCCAUUUUUUUUGCAUGAAAUUUUGGGGUAUUUUUUAUUUGAUGUUUACACGUUUAAAAACAAAUCAUUUCUUCAAAAUGACACUUGAAAGUUGACUCAGAUAAUUGGUUUUUGACUCAAUAGUUUUCAAAUGAUCUUAAAAAAAACCAGCUUUUUUCAUGUUUUGUGUUAAUCUGCAGAUAAAAUUUGACAGUGGUAGGGUCUCAAUAGCUAAUGAUUUUUGACUAUAAAUGUCAUGCUUUUUUGCUUAUAAUAUGUGUGCCACUGUUUGCUUGUCAAUGGCCAUCAUGUUUUGACAUAUUUUGGUUAAAAAGCAAUGCCUUUUUAUUAUUUAUCUGAUAUAGGUGUCUGGCCGGAAUCGAAGAGCUUUAGCGACGAUGGGAUAGGACCGAUCCCGUCUCGAUGGCGAGGAUCGUGUCAACGUGGCGUCGAUGAUCGUUUUCGUUGUAACAGGUUGAUUCUACUUCACUAAAAUGAGUUAUUUCUUUGCUAAAAAUGGGAAAUCACAAGUGUUUUUUCUACAAAGGAAUCUGCAUAUACAAUGUAUUUUCAAUCAAAGCCAUGUUCAUGUAUAUAUAUAUAUAUGUAUGUAUAUAUGUAUAAAUGCAAUAGCAACCUCAAUUAUGAGGUAAAGUUUUGAAAGAAAAAAGGGCCCAUACUUUAAAGUUUUUCUAAAGGUGUGUAACAGACCCUCCUUUUUAGGUUAUGCAAUGAUAGUGGAAUUCAUAUGUGAAUCUCACAUUCAUGGCAUUUCUUAUAAAUUAAAAAUUUUGUUUUCAAAUUUCUUUUAUUAUCAUUGCAGUUCACAAAUCUUUCCAAAUGAUUCCUUUUUGGUAUUAAUUAUCAUUUUCACACCACAUGCUUGACCAUCAAGUUAAGCUAUGAUCUUCCAAAUACAUGAAAAAGUUGAAUCCAAAUCAUUUCCAAGUAUUUCUUAGAAUAGAAUACAAGUGAUCUUUGCUGUCUUUUGCAUCAAUGCACAUGGCUUUGAUUGUAAGUUGAUAAAGCCAUGGUUUUUAAGGUUGUAUUUGGAUUUUAUAUAUUUAAAUAUAUGUAUAUGAAUUUGACCUUCCGUGAUUUUUUAAAAUACACGAGAUGACUUAGAAAUUUGUUUUUGAAUUAUCCGAAUCCAACACUUUCGAUCCGAGAAACCUAUGUUGUCACCAAUGUCAAUUUUGAUAGGCUUUGUAUGAUGAUUAGAAAUCCUAAAGUAUUUUAAUCAUUGAUUCUUGUAGGGAUAAAGUGAUGACCCAGAAUUUUCUUUUUCAAUAAAUAAUUGAUAAAAGUAACAAUUUAAGAAAAGAAAUAUAUAUAUAUUUUAAAAAAAAGCAAAAGGGAAUAAGGGCAUUUCUUUUCUGACUAUGAUAAAAAAAAAUUCUUUUUAUUUUCUACUUGAUUCUCUCCCCCAUAGAAAGCAUAAAGUCAAAUGUCUAUUGUAUUUAUUAGUUUCUUUUGUUAAAAGUUAUAAAUUUAAAGGUAACUUUGGUUAAAAGUUAUCAUCAAUGGAGCUUAUGAUUUGUUUUUGUCUUAUGGCCGCAACUUUCCCAUUGUUAAAUAUUUCAGGAAGUUGAUCGGAGCCAAGUAUUUCAACCGAGGGUACAAGGCUUACCUCGGCGAAAAGCUCAACGCGACGUUCAAGACUGUUAGGGACCACGAGGGUCAUGGUUCUCAUACUCUAUCAACAGCUGGUGGUAACUUUGUUGAUGGGGCUAGUGUUUUCGGUUAUGGAAAUGGUACUGCGAAAGGAGGAUCGCCUAAAGCUCGUGUUGCAGCUUAUAAAGUUUGUUGGCCCCCUGUUAAUGGUAACCAAUGUUUCGAUGCGGAUAUCAUGGCUGCUUUUGAUGCUGCGAUAAGUGACGGUGUUGAUGUGCUUUCCGUGUCGUUGGGUGGUGAACCGGCUGAGUUUUUUGAAGACGGUAUUGCGAUUGGUUCCUUUCAUGCUGUUAAGAAAGGGAUAUCUGUUGUUUUGUCUGGUGGAAACUCGGGACCUGCUCCUGGAACUGUUUCGAACUUGUCGCCGUGGAUGUUUACGGUUGGUGCUAGUACACUCGAUAGGGAGUUCACUAGUUAUGUUGAACUAGGCAAUAAAAUACGUCUCAAGGGAGCCAGCCUUGCUGCAGCAACAUUGAAAUCGAAAACUUCUUAUCCAUUGAUCGGUGCUGAUUGUGCCAAAGCAGCCAACGCUUCAGCUGUUGAUGCGUAAGCUUCAUGUUCGACUCCGGAUUUGUAAUUUCAUGUUAUUUCGAUAUCAUUCGAUGAAUCAUUUUUCCUUCAUGCAGUAUCCUGUGUCAACCAGGAUCAUUGGAUCCCACCAAGGUUAAAGGGAAGAUAUUAGUAUGUCUUCGGGGAAUCAACGCAAGAACUGAUAAGGGAAAGCAGGCUCUUCUUGCUGGUGCGGUUGGGAUGAUUCUCGCAAACGAUGAGAAAAGCGGAAAUGAAGUUAUAGCUGACCCACAUUUGCUCCCGGCUACUCACUUGAAUUUCACCGAUGGUGUAACAGUAUUUGCAUACAUCAAUUCAACCAAGUAACUCUCUUAUUUCCAUUCUAGUUUGUGCUAUAAUAAUUGUUUAUGUUUCACUAAUAACUUAUGAACAUAUAGGAAACCUACAGCAUAUUUAACACCAGUGAAGACACAAUUGGAUGCAAAGCCCGCACCAUUUAUGGCUUCUUUUUCUUCUAGGGGACCCAACAUGAUUGACCCUGCAAUCCUUAAGGUAAAUUUUCAAUGAUAUAACCGCAGGUAUAAGUAUAUAUAUUGUUUGAUUAGCAAAUUUAAUGUUUUGGUUUUUGGUUUUCGGUUUUCAGCCGGAUAUAACCGCACCAGGAGUAAGCAUCAUUGCAGCAUUCUCUGAAUCAGUCGGUCCAACAGAAGAUGAAUCCGACACACGUAGAAUACCGUUCACCUCGCAGUCUGGAACUUCCAUGUCCUGCCCGCACGUUUCUGGCAUCGUCGGUCUUCUCAAGAGUCUCCACCCCGAAUGGAGCCCAGCAGCCAUAAGAUCCGCGAUCAUGACCACCGCUAGAACGAGAGACAACACUGUCAACCCAAUGCUUGAUUCAGAUGGUAACAAGGCAACCCCGUUCAGUUACGGCGCAGGACAUGUGAGACCAAACCGUGCAAUGGAUCCAGGCCUCAUUUACGACUUAACCAUCGACGAUUACGUGAACUACUUGUGUGCUCGUGGCUACAACCAAACCACAAUACAAAUGUUUUCGAACAAGCCCUACGUUUGUCCAAAAUCAUACAACGUUGCGGACUUGAACUACCCUUCCAUAACAGUCCCUGAACUCAAUGGCACAACCAUCAUUACGAGGAAAGUUAAGAAUGUGGGUACACCAGGGACAUAUAAAGCUCAUGUUCAAUCACCGGUCGGAGUUAUGGUUACGGUUCAUCCAUCAACAUUGAAAUUUACAAAGAUCGGUGAAGAGAAGAAAUUCGAAGUGAGGUUAAAACCGAGUAGUAAAAAAGUGGAUGCGAAGGGAGGUGUAGGGUAUGUAUUUGGGGUAUUGAGAUGGUGUGAUGGGUAUCAUUACGUGAGAACUCCAUUGGCAGUGAAACGUAAGUAGAAAUUUUUUGUUGUAAUUUUUAAUUGGGGGUUUCAUUUUAUCGUUAUUAUUAUUAGCAUUCCAUUCUUUUGGGGGGGGGGGGGGAUUUAGAAAAGGAAAUGCCAAAUGUAAUAACGUUGCAAAUAAGAAAUUACAUACAAGCAUGAUUCAUAUUUCUCUCUUGCAAAAUUGUAGGUAAUUAUAAAAUCCAUUUUUUGAAUUUGGGUUAUUUUAAGUUUGAUUUUUGGUUCGGGUUAUGAUAUGUUUGUCGCAUAAGAUUUCGGAAAUAUCUCAGCUCAAUUAAUUUAACAAUUAUCAUUCUGAUUAGAAUUGAAAUUUCAAAUUUUGAUAUGUACGAAACAAUUUUAGAGAGACUAAAUCUUCAACUUAAAAGACUAUAGUAUUACGAGUAGACCAAUAAUUCUGACCAAUAUUACACAAGCUGUCUUGAAAAAUUGACAUGUGUAAUAUUUUACUAUUUCCCUAUAGGGCACUUGUCAACUCCCUAAUUUUGCUUAUGAAGUCUAGAAACUCCACUGAUAGUGUACCAUAUAAUUUUGCUUAUUUUAAAUGAUUGUUAGAUUUAGUGCUAAAAAUGGAUAGAUUCUUAGUGGUUCAUGGCAUGGCGUAUGAACGCCAAGUAGAGAAUUAGCACAAAUUAUCAGAAAUAAAAGCAGCUUGAGUGUAAGUGUGACAAGUUAGUUGUAAUAUUUUUAAGUGUUACGAUGGAACACUUCAAGUGUUCCAUGAAUCAAACCCAAGAGAGAUCGGACAAUAAGAUGACUAACAAUGAUAACUCAUGCAACUAAAAAAUCUAACUAGCUAAUCACUAAGCAUUAUAUUAUGGCAAAUCAUCAUCAUCAAUGUAAUUAACUAAAUACACUAAAAAUAUUAAAAUAAAUGUUUCCCAACAAAUGAAAAAAAUAAAAAAAAUAUACAUAUACUUAAAUAACACUAAAAUAUAUACAACUUAACAAGCAAAUAUCUCUAAAAUAGCAGCAAAAUUAAUAAUAAAAUAAAAUUUAUAAAUAUCUAAACAAUAACAACAAAUAAUUGCAAUAUAAUAGUGAAAUAAUAGCAAAACAAUGAAAAAAUAGUAAAAAAAUAAAUUUUUUUUUACAAAUUCGGGUUGAGCUCGGAUAAAAAAAAACUUACUCGAGACCUAACUUGUUUAGAAAAUGAACCUUAUUUUUUUAUUCAAACCUAAUUUUUUUAUCUAUAUUUUUACUUAAAUUUUCACACUUUAGGCCGACCCGGCCAUGGACAAAUCUAGUUGUAUACUUUGGUUGAAAUUAUAAGGGUCUCAUUGAUCCAAUAACCCAUUUACAAUUACAAGCCUGUGGGCUACAAUUACAAACUGCUAUUUGAGUCCUUUUAAUCAAAAGCCCAAUCUUGAAAGUACAAAAUUCGUAUGCCACUCAAAGGGUUUUAGGUUUUUAAGCUUUUUCUCUUCUUUGUUGCCUUGCCUGCGGCUCGUUAUCGCCAUCUCUGCUUCUUUCCAGGCUCCACUCAACUUCGAUCGAGGUCAAAGGAAACUGCUUUGCACUGUAAUCCAAAUCCAUUCCAGGUCAGCUAAACCUUCAAUUUCUUCUAUGUUUCUUGAUUUUCAAUUCGAAUGAUUUGGGAUUAUUUAUAUGUAACUAUGUUUCCAAUUUUUUGUGUUUUUGAUUUUGGGUCUCUGCUAUAUUUGUUCUUUUUGGGGUUUUGAAUUCUUUUUAUUGUUAUGUUUUGUUAAUCCUUGAAUUUAUGUUGUUUAGAGAUGGUGGAUUUAAUAGAAGUAAUAUAGCUGAUGCAAUUAGAAUAUUACUAGAAUAAUUUAUUAGAGGCAAGUUUGAAUAAUUGAUAAUAAUUAGGAAAAUUUUAUUUUAAAAAAUAGGAACAAAUAAUUAAAAAAAAACCUAGGAUGAAUAUGAACCAAAAUAUAAUGAAUUAGCUCAUUUUUUGAUGUAAUUGAUGAUGCCACUUCUUUUUACUUUGUAGUUCAAUUAUAAAUUGAACCUGUUGUAAUUUUUUGCUAUUCAGACUCCAAUUUGCUUGUGUUGUAAUAACAUAAAGAUGUCUACUGAAGCACCGGCCACCAUGGAGAUCGAAACCGUGCCUUCCGAGCCUAAACUCGAGUCAAAUCCUUUACCCCCAAAGCCAAAAUUUGAGCCUCUUAAGGCACACGAGAUGUCAGACGGUCGAGUCCAAUUCAGAAAGGUUUCGGUUCCACCUCAUAGGUAUUCACCUCUCAAGAAAUACUGGAUGGAUAUCUAUACUCCUGUUUAUGAACAAAUGAAGAUCGACAUCCGUAUGAAUCUCAAAGCUCGGAAAGUCGAACUGAAAACACGACAAGACACUCCCGACAUUAGUAACCUACAAAAAUGUGCAGAUUUUGUCCAAGCUUUCAUGUUGGGUUUCGAUGUUCCGGAUGCCAUUGCUCUUUUGAGAUUAGACGAGUUAUAUGUCGAGUCGUUUGAAAUCAAGGAUGUGAAAACACUUAGAGGAGAACACUUGUCUCGUGCUAUAGGAAGGUUGUCGGGAAAGGGAGGUAAAACGAAGUUUGCUAUCGAGAACGCUACGAAGACUAGGAUCGUCAUUGCCGAUACUAAGAUUCAUAUGUUGGGAUCUUUUGCUAACAUCAAGAUUGCUAGGGAUUCACUUUGUAGCCUCAUUUUAGGUUCACCUGCUGGUAAGGUUUACUCUAAACUUAGACAAGUUAGUGCUAGAUUGGCUGAAAGGUUUUGAUUCUUUGUUAUUUGUAAUAUGUUUUUGAGAUUUUGUUAUAUGGAUUUUUAAGAGUAAUUUAAAACCCUUGAGAAAAGAAAAAAAAACGAAGAACGUGAUGUUCUUUAGGGAGUUAUUUGAGAUGAAAGUUUUGAUAGGUAGGCAUUUGAGUGAAAUGAAUGUUAUGUAAAACUAUCAUUAUAAUGUCCCUUUUUUGAAUUUAUUCUAUUUGAGUUCAGUUUGAUUUUUGAUGCUUGAGUUCGAGCUCGUUUCAUGUACAAAAUUAAGGAUUGGAUUUUAUUUUGCAUGUGUUUUACGGUUCAUGAGGAUUAAUUUUUUCGGAGUUUGUUAUUGUCCUUUCCUAACAAUGUCUUUUACAGGGUCUGAACUUGAGUUUUUUUUCCGAAAAUUAUGUACAAUUGAUAGAUUGUGAAGUAUUAAAUUGUUCCUACUUUUAAAGGGACCAAUAUUGAAAUGGAUUAUAAGUAUAUUUUUACCAAAACUGAAAUAACAUCUUCAUUGCACUUUAUCAUGUUAAAACAAAGAAAAUAAAAAUGGAAUAAAAGUUUCAAUUGAGGAAAUAAGAGUAGCUCAAGUUUUGUUUUAAAAACUCUAAAAGUCAAUAUUAUUUCUAAGAAUGAAAAAUGGAGAAGAUCAUCUUCAACCUCCAAAGAGAAUCCCAGCAGCCUGUUCUGCAUUGCCAUCACAGAAUUUCAAAGCUUCUACCACUAUUUCUCUUGCAAAUCCCAACUCAACAAGCCUUGCAACUUUGGCCUCAAAUUCAGGUCUCUGCAGAAAAAUGAAUGAAACUCUUGAUUUUAUGACAUUGCAACAAAUUUCCUCAGGUUAUCAGGGGCCAAAAAUGAACAAAAAUUUUUUGAAGGACAAAAGUACAAUUUUACCAUUAUAUUAACUUGUGAUUUCCUAAAACCUAAAGGGAUUAUAUAAGCAAUUUUUCAUUUGGUCAAUAAUUUGGGGAUGUCUGGUACAAUUAACUGUAAAAGAAUUGUUUAGAACAGACAUACCUUUGUUAUGUCACCAUGUGCACCCCCUAGGGAGCAGAGAAGGAAACAAUGUUAGAAUGAGAACAAGAAUCACUUGCAGAGGGAUUUCAUAGCACCUCUUUCCGAGCGAUAUAUCAGUGCCGGUACGUACAUACGUACGUGUUAUAUAUCAGUUAAACAUUAAACUCAGGAUGAAUUCACAGAACAAAAGCAAAACGACAACAUGGGAUGUCGAAUACUGACCGGAAGGUUGACCUCCGGAUUGCACAUUAGCAUUCUUCUCUGUUGUUCCUGUUGUAAUCUAAAGAAUCACAAAAGAUCAGUCGAAAAAAUGCAACUGCAUGAAGCCACGAAAUGAUGUACAGAUAGGAAAAAGACUUACAGCAGGGCCGGAGCUCGAUGCAUGCUUCGAAUGCCUUUCUUCAUCAAGGAAGUUAUAAGGGAUGUCCUUUUCUAAAAAGAGUAAAUACUUGAUUAACUUACAUUACAAGAAACGAAAUUCAAUAGCACUAAGUCCCGAAAAAGAUCGACAUCAACGACCCCAUGGUUACUAACCUUGCAAAAAUGGUACAGAAACUUCUCCUCCUCCCACUCUAAGAACAUUUUCCUUCAAAUCGAUAACACACUGUGUAUGAACCGCACUAGUCAGAAUUAUCGAUACGUAAGGAUAUUAAGUAGAGACAAAGCUACCUGGUGUUUACGGAGCAUAUCCAAUCCGAAGAGAAACUCCAUGUUGGGAGAGUCCAAAACCACAAAGGAGCAAGGGAAAAAUAUAUUUCCAAUCUACGAUAACACAAAAUAAACGAAGAAGUCGAAUGCCGCAUUAAGCAUAACGAGUGUAUGUACUUGUAAUGUUUAUACUAGAAAACAAGUAUGCAAUCAUACCUUGAUUGGAGCAACAUGUAUUCUUCCGAGAAUCUCCGAUUGGCCGACCCCAUGAGCAAUACCUUUAUAUCGUUGAUCUAAAAGCCUUAGCAAUCUAUGAAGAAACAAGUAAAAUAGCAUUCAAACCGGCAUACUUUUCUCCUAUGUAAGAGAGGACGGAGUCACGGAGAGGAAUAUUUAUAGCACAUACCCGCAUCGUUCGGCACAGCUUUUCGAAAUUAUAGUCGACUGUGCACCACUAUCAACAAAUGCCUUCACAGAUGAUCAAAGUAACAAAUUUAAUGAAUUUAUGAAGUACAGAACAAUGACCCUUUGUUCGAUUCUAUACAAUACCGGCCACCGCCUUUACCUGUAACGGGACACCAUUAACCUCCAUGUCAACAUACAACAUAACCACCCUCGCAAAACCUUCAGGAUUGUGUUCCAAGGCAGCAGCCCAGUUCUCAUCAAUUCCUUUCUGCAUCACAAAAAGCAUAGCGACCGGAAAAACGAGGGAUAUGCAUAUGGAUACGACCACCUUUGUUAAACAGUAAAUAGGUUCCAAUUAAGUCAGAUUAGUAGAGAAAACUAACCUGUUGUAUGGCAGCUUCGAUUUUCUUUUGUGCUUCAACAUCGAAAGGAUCAGCUUCAAGAAGAGCCUAUAGAGUAAAAUCAAAUAAGUUUAUAAUAAGUAUUGGCUCUUUUUAAUGCUAUCAAAUCGAGAUAUAACUAUAGCCAUAAACCGGUAGGGCAAGAUACUUACAAGCUCCUCCAACUCCUUUCUUCGCAAUUCUGAUCGUUGUUGAUGACGUGCCCGUAGAAUGUCUUGUAGUUUGUUGAGAUCGUCCCCGAGAAUAGCUUGUGCGAGUUCCGGGUCAGCUUGAAAUAUCUGUCCGAUUACAUUAGAAUCACGUCGAAUAUGUUGUUGGAAAACUCCAGGGUUCACAGCAGAUCCAUCAAGAUUGAAGCUCAAAUCAUUAGUAGAUUCUCUGCAAAGUGCAAAUGAUACAUAUCUUUAUCAGGAUAGAAACUGCAUUAACAUCUUGUAAUAGGCAUCUAGAGUCCCUUGUUCUAGGAGUCGGGUUGCGCUUUGCUUCUUUUAUUCAAAAAAUUUGGCAAAAUUAGUUCUUAUACGUUAGAUCAAAGAGUACUUAUAAGCUAAACGUUGGUCUCUGUACGUCAGUAUGAAAUACACAUAAAACUAUUUGCUUAUUUUAUCAAUCACGUUAAUUUUUAAUAAUAGAUAUGAUGUAAUGUCUAAAAGAAAAGAUCAGAUUGCUCUUUGAUUUAACAUAUAAUGAUUAAUUUAUCCAUUGUUUUCAGUAAAGAACCAAACGAAUAACCGAUGCAUAAUUUACCUAGAACCAGAACUUGGUACCAUCAUAAUUAAAUCAUGAUCUUUAACACCCAAUGCACUCAAUUUCUCAAAGUUCUGAAUUUCCCUCCCAUGAUAAAGAAGUUGUUGCUGUUGUAUAGGCAAAUUUGUCUGCCAUAAACCCAAACAAAGUCAUAAUCAGCAUCAGCUGAGCAUCAAACUCAACUAUCAAAACUCUAAAAGCACCAUGGCCCUUAUACUAAUAGUUGGAUACAUUUUUGCUUUCUCUAUCUAAAAAAAUAGAUAAAUUAAGCAUUGUAUAUUAAAUCAAAGAGUAAACUGAUUAUUCAGUCAAAAUUUUUAUCUAUUUCUAUAGUUAAAAACCGAUCCGUGUACGUUAGUAUGAUGUAAACGUGAUAUGCCAUGUAUCUCUAUUUGGUUAUUGCCUCGAUCAAGCCAGUUUUUAACCGUACAAAAGGAUGAAAUUUUAAUUAAAAAAAAGACUAAUAGGCUCUUUGAUCUAAUCUACGGUAAAUAGAUAAGGCACCCAGAACUCUAAUACACACAAAUAUACAUAAAAAGAGAGCAUGCAUAUAUAUAUAUAUAUAUAUAACCAAAGGGUUCUCACACUGACCUCCACUUCCAACAAAGCUUUCAAAUUUUCAACCUAUAAAAAACAGGAAAAGAAUUCAACAAAGAAAUAGGAAUGUAUGAUAAUAAUAAAGAAGGGAUAAAAGGGUACUUAACAGAUUCAUGAGGAUCAACGUCUAAAUUGAGGAUCUGUUCAUCAGCCGUCAUUACAGUAAUUCUCAUCCUUGUUCUUUCUUCUUACCUGUUGGGUUUUAAUGCAAAGGGAAGAUAAAAAAAGGGGCAAGGCUUUGUUUCAAUUGGACUUCAAAUAUAUGAAAUUGAUUUUCUGGUUUGUUGUGUGAAGCUGAGAAACAACAAUAUGCAAAUCAUUGUGCAGAGUUAAGUGUUUGCUUACAUUUCUCAUUGUUUGUUAGGAUUUUAAUGAGGCCCAAUCCAAGAACCAUAAUUUGAUCAUGUAUUUUUAUAAUUUUAUUAACAUAUCUAAAUCGGUAACACUAUUAGUUGAUGUCAUUAAAGUAGUUAUGUGGAUUUUCAUUUUACAAAUAUUCAAUUACGCGGUCAAAAACACGUAAAAAUCUAAUUAAUUGUGUUUAACCGAUGAUAAAUUUAUAUUUCAACCAAACCUUUAAGAGUGUGUUUUAAAGGUAUAGCGACAAAUAUAGUCCUUAACAUUUAUAUUUUUUUGUCAAUUUGACUCUUAUUCUUUUUUCUUUUAGCUAAAUUUGUUCCUCGGCCUUUUAAAAAGAGUUGAUUUGAUCAUCAACCUUUCAGAAAAUAGUUGAAUUGUUGUUUUCUUGAUGAAAAUACUUGUUAAAAUGUUAAACUUUUAAGCAUGUUAGCACACAUUGUAAUUUAUGUAUACUUCAUGCUAUUUUCUUUGAAAAUUUUAUAAACUUUUUUAAAAAAUUUAAAAUUUUUUAUUUUUAAAAAAAUAUUUUUAUACUUUAUAAAUUAUUUGUUGACAUGGCAUAUAAGAUAAACAGUGUCAUGUCAGCAUGAAGUACACAUGAACUGUCAUGCGAGUUGUCACGUUAAUAUUGUUAAAAAACAAUGUCUUAGUCAACAUUUCCGUUAAAAAAGAAGAAGUUAUUUGACUCUUUUAAAAUGGUUAAGGGUCAAAUUUAGCUCAAAAAUAAAAUAAUGGACAAAAAAAUAUAAAUAUUGAGAGUUAAAUUUAUCAUUAUGCCUUUUAAAAAAAAUACAUGUUCACUCCCAUGCAACAACUAAUAGUAUUAUCCAUUUGGACCUACUAAUAACAUUAUAAAAAUAAAAGAGUCAAAUAAUUCCAAGUUAAAGUAGAACGAUUAAAUCCCAAAUUUCGACAUAGUAGAUCAGACUGAACAACUCACUCUGUUUUGGGGGAGGCAAGUAUGAUUGAUUUUGACUUGAGUCAAUCCGUGUUUAAAUUUUGUGUCAUUUCAUCUUCACGUCAAUUUUGGGAAAUUUGGAUAACUUAUGAAACAAAUAAAAGUAAUGCUUGAGAAUCUUUAUAUCCAAAGGGCAUGUUAACAUUGAUAAUGAGAAUAUCAGUAAUAAAUUCAAGCAAGCAACCAAGCAAAAUAUCCCAUAUGAAUAGUUUAAGAAAUUGAAGAUGGCCCCAUUUUGACAUCCCUCUUACUUCACAAUUUUAUUUUACUAAAAAAAUAUAAAAAGACAAAAAUACCCCAUAAUAAUAUUCGAUUAACUGAUAUUCGAUUAACUCGUGACGUUAACGUAUUUUAAAAUAUGCCACCCAUUUUAAGAAAUAGAAUAUGCACUCUGUUCCCUUCAAAAAUAGCACCAUGCUUCAUUGAUUCUUUAUGUUUUGAGCAUUUGGGGUGUUGAGGCUUUUCUUUUUCUUUAGGGCAUAGAGGAUCUCCCAUGAAUCUAAAGCCAAUGCAGUGAGUGAAAGCAUUAAUGCUCAUGAAAUUGACAUUCUUCUUUAAAGAAUAAAAGAAUAUUCAUAUUGUAAACAAAUUUCACUUAAACCAUAAAUAGAAACAUAGCAUGUUUGUUAAGGUUGGUGGUAUAGUUGUUUUGAGAUGGGACUCUUCAACACCCAUUCCAUAAUUUUUCUUAAUUUGGUAUCUAAAUUUUUUACUCGAUUUGAUAUUUAAAUUUUACACAUUUUCUUAAUUUGGUACCUAAAUUUUUUCAGGCUCGAUUUGGUACUUAAACUUGUCAUAUUUCUUAAUUUUGUAUUUAAAUUUUUUUUAGAUUCAAUUUAUUAUCUAAAUUUAUUAAAUGUUGUACAAAUUAUGCAAAAUACUAACGGUGUUAUUUUUUUUAUGCUAUAAAAAUAUUGUUUGUAUUAGAUGCAAUUCAUGUUAAAAAAAAGUAUUGAACUAUUCUAAACGAAUUAAUAUUAAAUAAGAAAAAAAAUUCAAACCCAAAAUUAAAAAAAUUUAUUAUUUUCAAUCAAUAAAAUAAUUAAUUAAACAAAUAAAACUAAAAGUAAUUAAACAUAUAAAAUACAAAAAAUAUCAUAUUAUUUGUCACAUGUUAAUCAUACAUUAAUUAUUUUUGUUACCUCGUAAAAAAAUAACGUUGUUAAUAUAUUAAGGUAAUUUGUAAAAAAUUUUACAAGUACCAAAUCAAACAAAAAAAUUUAAAUACUAAAUUAAAAAAAAGUGUUAAUAUCAGGUACUAAAGUGAACCUCCAAAAAAAUUAAAAACCAACUUAAGAAAAAAUACCAAAUAAAUAUUUUUAUAUAUAAAUUUUCGGGAAAAUGACCAAAAAAAGCCCUUUUUUUCAAUAUUUACCGAAAUGGGCCGGUUUUUUAAUUAUUUACCGGAAUGGGCCAUUUUCCGCGAAAUCGCGUCCACGUCAGCGCGAUGUCAGGGUACGCGCCAGAAAAUCGCGUUCACGUCAGCGCGAUUUGCUUACGUGGACACAAAUCGCGUCCUUGAGGGCGCGAUUUGCUGACGUGGCAUGAACAGUUUCUCAUUUUUAACUUGGAAAACUUUGAAAGGCCAUAACUUUUGGCUCGGUUGUCCGAUUGAGACGAAUUUUUUUUGAUUUCGAAGGCGGUUUGCCGCAGUUUUGUCGAAAAGAUCAUUUUUUGCCCUAAAUUUUGAUUUUUUCGGUUUAAAAUUGAAUUUUGAAACAUUCAAAUCAUUAUUUUCCUUAUUUAUUUGAAGUAAACACCGGAUAUUUUUUUACAGAAUUGUCUUAUAUCAUCCUGUUAUAGGUAUAAGUCAGCUCAUUCCACUUUUGAGAAGUUCCCUAAAAUUUUCCAUUUUAUUUUAGUCCCUAAAACCUAAAUAGUCAUAUUUUCAAAUCUAAGCUUCGUUUUUCAAUUCAAAUUCAAAUUCAUCCUUCCAUAACAUUCAAAUAUUCUUAAAUACAAAAAUUUCAUGCUAAUUUUGAAAUAAUUACACUUUAGUCCCUAUACUCGUAACUAACAAAUUAUACUUUACAAAUUAGUCCCUAUUCAUCUCUAAGCAGUUUGUCAGCGCGUAGAUCUCGAAAAGUUAUUCGAAAUCAAAAAAAAAUCGUCUCAAUCGGACAACCGAGCCAAAAGUUAUGGCCUUUCAAAGUUUUUCAAGCUUAAAAACAUAAACUGUUCAUGCCACGUCAGCAAAUCGCUCCCUCAAGGACGCGAUUUGUGUCCACGUCAGCAAAUCGCGCUGACAUGGACGCGAUGUCCUGACAUGUACCUUAACAUCGUGCUUACGUGGACGCGAUUUCGCGAAAAAUGGCCCAUUCCGGUAAAUAAUUAAAAAACCAGCCCAUUUCGAUAAAUAUUAAAAAAAAAGGGCUUUUUUUUGGUAAAAUAGCCUAAAUUUUCUCUAAUUUUUAAAUUAAAAAAAAAAAGGCACCUACAUGCAUUUGAACCCUUAUUGGGUACCAAAUAUCAGAUCACAAAAUUUAGGAUGUAAUUUAUAAUUGUUUGUUGCUGCUUUGAUGACUGAUGACCUAAUCUUGAACAUUAUUAAAAAAUAUUAAUUAUAAAAAUAAUAUCAGAUCCAAAAUUCAGCAUCAGAAUAAAGGGACUAAAACCAGAAUUAGAGGUUAAAAAAUGGAGGGGUUUAAGGCAAAUCUUCAAUCUUAUUUGUAAAAUAUGAUUGAAAUUUAUAGUGUAAAAAUGAAGUUCAAACACUACAUCUAGAGACAAUAGGAUAAUCAUAUAAACAACCAAAUAAGAAUGGAAUUAUAGUAGAUAAAAUCCCAACAAUGAAAUUAGAAAGGAGGAGGAGCUGCAUAACCCAAGAAAGGUCUUCCACAAGAAGAAGACAAUUUAGGAUCACAGUAAUCUUCAUGGAAUGUAUCUUUGAGCUUGUGAAACCCGUUCUUGAAAACCCCAAAGCCGAACAACAGCCCAAUCGCAACCACGACUAGAAUCAAACAAGUGCACAGCAUGCAUACUCUCCCACAACACAUCUUCUCAUCAACAACCAAAUAAAAAGGGGGAAAGCUUUAUGGGUAUCUUGUUCUGGGGGGAUUUAUGGUGUUUAUAAAGAAAAGAAAGGGAUAUAUGGGUUGGGUUUUUGGAUCUGAGAAGGAUGAAAACGUGAAAUGGAAGGGGGAAAAGGACUGGAUGAAAAUACUUGGACGUUAGGGGGAUUGAAGAGGAAGAAGAAGGUGAAUUUGGCUUAAAAGGUAAGCAAUAAAAAGGGGAUUUUGUGAGAGAGAUUCUUGCUUUGCUUGUUUCCCUUUUCUUUACCCUUUUAACUACUACCAAUUCCUUAUCCAACAACACAACAUGCACAAAUUUUUAUUUUGCUUUAUGGUUUGAC